CAUUUGGUUAUGGUCCUCGGAUAUGCGUCGGACAAAAUUUUGCAAUGAUGGAAGCAAAAAUGGCUUUGGCAAUGAUCUUACAACGUUUCUCAUUUGAACUUUCCCCAUCCUAUGCUCAUGCACCUAUUAGUCUUCUAACUACGCACCCCCAGUAUGGUGCACACCUGAUUUUACAUGGACUUUAGCAUCAGAGUUCUUGUUAUCAGUGAGAGUUAGCAAGACCUUUAAACCUAGAUAGUGUUGAAUUUAAAAUGCCCACACUUCCUUUCACUUGAGUGCUCUUUAAAGUCAUUAUAUUAAUAAAAUUCUCUUUUGUAUGUUUGUAAGAGAUCAUAUAUAAAAAUGAUCACUUUACAAGGAGAUGCAUUUUUCUCUAUUCUUGUCCCCCCAAAAUGAAAAGAAAAGAAGAACUGCUGACAAUCUAUAUUUGGAGAAUGGACAUACAUUGAAAUUAUUUCUGAUGGGUGACCAUGCAUGUUGUGAUAUCUACAAGGAAACUACCAUUCCAAUAAUAGGAGAAAUAUUCUCAUUUGUUCUUAUCGUUAUAGAGUGGUGUCUCAUUCACUAUAAUUGGGUAGUAGACUCUUACGGAAUUUUAUGGCUAGGUAUCUGUAAAGAAGUUCGUACUAAAUUGGGUAGCAAGAUAAUACAAUUUUGGAGUUACUACCUCUAAGAAGUUGUCUGCGUACACUUGAUUCCGAUCCAUGUAAUGACAAAUUAUAAACCUCAGGGGCCCGGUCCACCCCCUAUUUUUACUGGAUCUACAAUUUUGCCAUUCUCCAAGAGUUUUAGACAACUUCACAAUGUUCCACAACCUUAACGAACCUUUUGGAUGAGCUUUCAUAUUCUUGGAGCAGCUUGAUGUGCUUGCAGUAGCUUUACAUGAUUGCUAUAAUCCCAUAUUGGAAGCUUAAGAAAGAGGAACCUCUCCUAGUACCUAUAACGACCAAUUGUUAUUUCACUUGAUUUCUUCAAGUGUUGUAUUCUUAUUUGCUUCUAGUUUCACUUCUGCAGCAAGCCAAACUCACUGGGAUGCUCAGAGUUUUUAGGUGCUCAAACACUACAUGGAUUUUUAGGAGAGAUCUUGGUCUACCAAAAGUGGUGGACGUGUUAGAAAGCACUAGCAAAAUAAAAAUAAAAAUAAAAAAAGAAAGAAAGAAAAGCCAAGAAAUCAUUGAUAAUAAAAUAUUCACAGUUGAUCUUGACAUGUGGAUAAAUUAUUUCAUAAUCAAGAAGUAUUCACAAUUGCAAAACCGCCCACAAGCUUACAUGCAUGCCCUUUUAGCUUUGUGCUAUAUAUUUAGAAUUUUGAGAGAAGCAAAGAAAGAAAAAUGAAGAAUAUUUUUUAACAAUUGAAUUUAAAAUCAUGAUGCACUUUCAUCUAUUUAUAGGCACGACAAUAAAUUAUAACAUUUUAUAUAUUUUAACUUUACAAAGUCUACCAAUGACUUUACACCUAUUCUAACAUUACAAUUUAUUUGUGAAUUUAUAAUGUAACUUCACAAUUAAUUUGUAACUUUACAACUUUUGUUUCUAACUUCAUAAUUGAUUCUAAAUUUACAACUUUUGUAAAUUCACAAGUUAUUGGUGCCUAUCUUCCACCUUUUGUAACUUUAUAAUUCAUUGUACAUGCAUUAUAAUAUUUUAAUUUCUAAAGUAAAUAUCUAUGAUUAAUUAACUUAUUUGUAUGUUAUGAACUCUUCAUAUUUCAAAGUUAAUUGUCUCUUAUCAAUAAGUUAAGGUGAGGACAUAUGGUAUGGGACCUUUGUGGGAUCUUUAAUUAAUUACAUCCUUAGUAAGUUUGUUAUGUUUGUUCCAAAUAAAUUUAUUAAUUAUAAUUAUAUUUAAAACGUAUUAUAAUUUCACCCUAAGAAUAGGAGAUAUAUAAGUCAACUUCCCACUUAUAUAUAUACAUAUUAAUCCUUCCAUGAAUUAAUAUUCAUAACAAAUUUAUUAGGUUGAACCAAGAUGACUGUCAUUACCAAAUUACAAGUGCAUCACCUCUUACAAUUAGAUCUUUAAGAAAAACAAUUUAAAAAUUCCUAGUAAACAACAUAUUAUAUUAUAGAUAUGUACACUUGAUAAAAUACUUAUUCCAAAUUGAACAACUAGUAUUUCAAUAUAUUUUGUAAGUGACACAAUAUUUAAUAUUCUCUCAUAAUACAGUCUGUUAUUAGACAUCAACGAUUAACUAUAUCAAAGCUACAUUUAUAUAACUUGAUGACAUCCUUAAGCCAAAGGACUUUAUGCAACACUAAACAAAACAAGUUUUUGUUGGAAUAUCUAGAUUACUCCAUUCCAAGCAUUGUUUCAUGGAGUGCAUACUACUACAAUCCUAAGGAUACUAGAUUUAAUGCAAUGGAAGCAACAAAAACAAAAAUGUUAGAUCUAGGUGCUCUAGAAAACAAUACUUAUUAUUUGAAUAGUCCUAGAUCAACUCUAGUUGGUCAAUAGUAUGAUUUAGAUCCUGAAAACAUUGCAAUUUGUUGUCUAAUGGCUCUCUCCUAAACCUUACAUGUGAAAAUGGUGGAAUCCUUUCUAUAGAGAUGGAGGCUAAGGCUCUAUCUUGUUUGAAGGUUGAAUAAUUGAAGUUAUAAGCCUUAAACCCUUAAUAAGAUUUAUAUAGUCUUUGCCUAUGGGAUUAAGUGACUUUUGCCCAUCUUGAGCUUAGGUCGGUUAAUCUAACCUAAUGGUUCCUAAUUAAUUAAUUAGUCAUAUUGGGAUACAAUUAAUUAAUUAGUCAAAUCCAGAAAGAUUGUUCAUAAGCUCUUAUGCAACUUUGUGUAUUUAUCAAAAUACCCUUAUACACACAUAUGAACAAAAAACCCUAAUAUCCUUCAAAUAAUUAAUGUGCCACCAAGGAAUAUGAACUUGAGUAGGGACUAUUAGGACCUAUAUAUAGGAAAAUAAAGGCCUCUUCAUAAUCUAAUUAUGAACUUAACUCAACACCAUCAUGCUUCCUUGCACCUUCUUAUACACACAAGGUUCAUUAUUGUUUUGACCAAAAUCAAGGGUCUUAAUUUCAUGUUCUAAACACUUGUUCCAUGAGCAAGAGGUGUGAAUUAAUCCAAAAUAGGCUUAUGCAACUUGCAUACUAGAUGCUCUCUACCCUUUGCCAUGAAAACAUCUGGUUGUAUCAUAUGAAUGCUCUCAUCAAGGUAGUCGUUUAAGAAUGUUGUCUUAACAUCCAUAUGACAUAUCUCAUAAUUGAGAUAAACUAUAAUGGAUAUGAGUACUUUGAUUGAUUUGAGUAUAGCUACCACAGAAAAAGUUUCCCACCGUCAAAACUGGGUUUCAAACUCUAAACCUUUAGCUAGAAGCCUAGCCACAAAAGUCUCAAUUGUUAGGAUAAAGGCUCAAAAGCAUGAGAAGAUGUCAUAAAAAAGUUUCCAUUAAUAAAGUUAUUUACUAUGAUUUCCAGAAUCCAUUUCUAUCAUUGAUUACAUUAAUUGUUACCCGAGCAUUCAAAGCUUGUAUCACUUACAUUGUACAUGACUUGAGUGCAUUAGGAGUUGCAUAAAGGAUCCACAACAAGGAUUCUUUGCAGGAUGAUAAGUAGUUCACUACCGGUUCAUGGAUUAGGGCAAUCCAUCAGAGACUAUAUCACACUACCUGACAAUUCGAGGGAUGAUACAAAUAGAAUUCAAGUACAAAUUGUAUGGCUUAUUGACAAAAAGGAAACUGCAUGUGUCAAAUGAAUUAAAGAAGGAAGGGUUCCCUUACAAACUAUUUUGUCUUGGUCAUUAGGAUGGUUUUCCCAUGGUGGGGCACUAUUAUGUAUGAUUACACAUUGGAUAAGACCUACAAUGAAUCAUGACAUUAGAUAUCGAGUAGUCAUGAUUCAUCAAGUUACUAUGUUGCAUGGGCUCUCAAUCUUAGAUAAUAUUGAGCUAGUAUUGAGGUCUUUAGUGACUUUAACCUAUGGGUGAGACCCUAAGGUGGUCAUAUAUUCUCUACAAAUUUGGUUACUAGUAAUUAAGGUAGGUGGGCAAUAGGUAUUCUCAAGAUAGGCACCAUUGAUAUCUUAUGGGUUUGAUAUAGUAUGUCUUUAUGGAUGAUCUUAAGGACAAGUGAUUAAGAAAUCUAUGGUCGUGGUAAUUCCUUAAUUGAAAAUUGACAUAUGCUCUUAGAAAGCUAGAGUAUGUCAAUUGAUCACACAAUAAGAGAAUUUGAAACUCAAGAAUUAGAGAGGUAAUCAUGAGUGGUUGAUAGCAAUCACCUUGUUAGAUUACAAACACCGAUUCAUAGGGACUCUCCAUUUAAUGGAUAGUAGGUCAUGGACCUAAGUUUAUACCUUAUUUUAAUAUCAUAGGAUACUAAAGUGUAGUUGGCCCUUUGAAGUGGAAUAUUAAGCUAUUUUUAGAAUUAGAUUAUAAGGGAGUCAAUAUUUUUCUAUGGAUCCAUGUAGUUCCCACUCAAGCUCAUAUUCCUUGGUGGCACAUUUAUUAAGAGAUAUUAAGGUUCCUUAUUCAUAUAUGUGCAUUAGGACAUUUUGGUAAAAAUAUAAGAUUACAUAAGAGCUUAUGAAUGAUUUUUUGGAUUGGCUAAUAAAUUAAAUUAGAGCCCAAUAAAACUAAUUAAUUCAUUAGGGCCUAAUGGGUUGGAUUAACUGACCUAAGCUUAAGGUGGGUUCAAGUCACUUAAGCCCACAAGAAAGCCUAUAUAAUACCCAAUAGGGGUUCAAGGCUCCAAACACUUGGCAUUCAAUCAUCUAAAGAAGAACCCUAGCCUCUACCCCUUCUAUAGAGGAUUCCACCUCCUUUCAGGCAAGAACCUAGGAAAGGAAGCAAUCAAGUGGAAGACUUAUUGGUUUUUAAGAUCUGCUAUGCCUCUUUAUCGAUUGCUAAUGAUAUAGGAAUAUCCAAAUCAUAGAUUUUACAUCUAAACUUAAUGUUCUAUUUGCUUCAAUUUCUUAGAUCUAGAGAUUCCUAGGAUAAAUUUUUCAUGAACCUAUGAUUUAAGGAUUGUCUCAACAUCAACCUUUCUAUUUACUCCUUUUUUUUUUUUUUUUUUUUUCUAGAUUGUUAAGACAUUGAGUCUUGUUUAUAUGUUGACAAUUUUGUUCCUUUUAAUGUUUGGCUAUAAAAGUCUUUUUAGAUUGUGACUUACUCUCUAUUGAAGAUUAAGAGUUCUUUUUCAUCCAACCGAGAAGUCAUACGUAUGUCUAAAAAGGUUUGGCUUGUGUCAAUUUAGGCUCCAUUGAGAUUUUAGGAGUAUCAACUUUGCUUUGAACUUAAAAUGAUUUAAAUUUGACCAUUGAAAAAGGGUAGGACUGUUCAAGUGGCCUGGAGAGCUCAAAUGCUCAAGAACGCUCAAAUGCUCAAGAACGCUCAAGUGAGCCUUACUGCUCAAGCACCCAAGGCACUCAAGUGGUGGGUGAGUUGGCUCAAGCGGUUAUGAAAAUUUUGCCAAGUUUUUUCACGCAAAAUUGGUUUGGAACUCUUCCAAAACAGAAAUUCUUUAGGCUUUUGCCUAUAAAUACCUCUCUUUUAACCCCUUAAGGGUUAAAGAUCAUUAAAAGAUUGUGGAGAAAUCACAUAGAGAUAAUAUAUUCUUUAGAGAGGAUCUCUUAGAAAGAAAGCCUAAUGUGACACACCAUUCUUAAUCUCUCAUUCAAGGAUUUGAUCUUUGAAUCUUAGGUUGAAGACCUUCAUCUCUUUGACAAGGGUGAAGUGAUCCAUUAGAGCAAUUGAAGGCUAUUGCAUCACAGGCAUAGAUUAAGUUGUAGGUAUUGGAGAGUAAGUCUUUAGGGUAAAGCAGUUAGGUAAAUUGGUGUAACUCGAUUUCUUAUAGUAGAUUUAGAUUAGUAGGUCUUAGACCUCGUGAUUUUUUAUCUCCACAAUAAGUGUGAGGGUUUUCGACAUUAAAAUAUCUAUGCCUUAUUGUUUAUAUCUUUUUAUUAUUUGAUAUAUUAUUUUAAUUGCCUAAAGGAAAGAUUUGAUAAUCCCUAACAACUCACAGGUUAAAAUAUGGGCAUAACAUAUAAAUAUUUAUUUAAAUUUUAAAAUCACCCAUUCACCCUUCUUCCCUUUGGGUGUUCUCUAUUGGACUUUCGGUUUUUCAAUUGGUAUCAAAGUGAGAUAAAAAUUUGAUUCUUUAUCUUAUAGAUUAAAAAUCAAAAUUUUAUUGAUCAUAUAGGGUAAAAAUCAAAUUUUUAUUGAUCUUGUAAGUCCGAUAUGGAAUAAUCUAAACGUGGUGCCCCUUUGAAUAGUGCACCCUACUUUGGUGGGAAUAACUAUUCCCAUUUGGAAAUCUCAUAUGAUGUUUUUCCUUAAAAUGCAAGGAGAAAUGGUAUGAAAUUCAGUAGAAUCUGGAUGAAGAACCCCAUUGAUCCUUGAUUCUGAAGGAAGAUCAACAGAAGAACUUAAACCUAAACACGAAUGGGACAAAGUUGACAAUGAAGAUAGUGAAGCCAAUGCUAGGGUUUUAUUUAGCAUUUUUAAUGAAGUUUGUCCAAAUGAGUUUCACAUGAUGGUAAAUUGUAAACGUUCAAAAGAAGCAUGGGGUAUUCUUCAAGUCACUCAUGAAGGUGCGUCUGCUUUAAAGAUUUCUAAAUUACAAAUGCUUUCCAUUAAAUUUGAGAAUAUUAGGAUGCAUGAAAAUUAGAACUUUUCUUCCUUUUAUUUUGAAUUAAGUGGUAUUGUUAAUUGUUUCUUUAACAUUGGAGAACCUAUUCUUGAUUCUAAGGUAGUAAGAAAAAUAUUAAGAUCUAUCUCUAAGAGAUUUAGACCUAAAGUUGCUACUAUAGAGCAAAGUAAGGACAUCGAUUCUGUGAGAGUUGAUGAACUUGUUGGCUCCAUUCAGACAUAUGAGAUGACCCUACUUAGUUCUCAAAAGCCUAAAGACUCUACCUUUAAGGCUUAUGAGAAUGAGGAAAAAGAUAUUGAAAUGCCAUAUAACAUAGCUAGGGAUGAAUUCACUCAAAUAGAUAAAAGAAUUAAAAAGGUCAUGAAAUUCAAUAAAAGAUUUUUAAAAAAAAUCAAGAAUCUGGAAAAAGCAAAGAGACAUAACAAACAAUAUCCAAAGAAAAGGAUAAAGAUUCCUUCAAAGGUAAGAAAGUUGAAUGCUUUAACUACGGAGGACUGGCACACUUUGCUACUAAUUGUCCCAUCUCCAAAGAUAUUGAAAAGUCUAUGUAGGCAACAUAGAGAAUGCUUCUAUAGCUUCUAAAGAUGCAAGGUAUGAUCCCAAUGACUUUUUAGCUUUUAUUGCAUCUAUGGAAUCUGAGCAUGAUAGUGAUAAUGAUAGUGAUGAUGAAUUUACUGAUGAUCAAAGAGCAUGAAAAGCUAAUUAAGAAUUAUUUAAAUGAUCAUGAUAUUCUUCAAACUCAUAAAACCAAGAUUGACAUGUUUAAUGUAGAAAAGAGUAAUUUUCUUGAAAAAAAAAAAUAGAUUUCUUGAGUUUGAACAUCAUUAUCUCAUUGAAAAGAAUAAUGCUCAAUCAAGAGAUAAAGAGCAAUAAGCCUUCUUCAUUUGUGAAUAAAGUUUUUCACCCUAGAACUUGAGUGCUUAAUGAAAUUCUUGAUAAAUGCAAAACCUAUUGUGAUAAAUGAGGUUUGGGAUAUGUUAAUAAAGAUGAAACUCCCUCUAGUGGAGAAACUAUAUUUGUCAAAGGUAAAAAUAUAACCCCUAAUUAAGCAAAAUCUCCUAAAAAGACAUCACAAUGCACACACUUUAAGAAAACUAGACACUUUCAGUUUAGAUGUUACCUAGAAAGGUUUGAAUCUCAAAUGAGUAGGCUAAUGAAUGAUUUUAUAACUCCCUUAAAAAUAACUUCUUGAAUAAUAGGAAAUGGGAUAAGCCUAAUCAAAAGCCUAGAAGCUAACAAAGCUCCUCUAAGUCACCACUUAGGACUAAGCAACUUUGGAUGAGAAAGGAUAGGAAUAAGUAUCAAGUUGUCUUCAAUGCUCUUAAAGCUAGAUCAUUCAAUGAGUGGUACCUUGAUAGUGGCUGCUCUAGACACACGAUAGGUGAUAAAUCUGAAGAGUAAGUCUUUAGGGUAAAACAACCAGGUAAAUUUGUGUAACUUCAUUUCGUAUAGUAGAUUUAGAUUAGUGGGCCUUGACCUCAUGUUUUUCUUUCUCCACAAUUAGUGUGAGGGUUUUCCAUGUAACUUAGUGUAGUUUUCCUUUUUUGUAGUCACUUAGUGUUAAGAUUCAAUAUUGUAUAAAUAUAAUUAGAAUUUGUGUAAAGAUGUAAUGCAAUGAAAUAGAAGAAAAUAAAAAAUAAAAAUCUCAAAUUUUGGGUUUAAUUUUAUCAUAUUUAUUUUUAAAAGGUUUUUAAAUGAACAAACCUUUAAUAAAUGUAUAAAUAAAUUGAACUAUAUUCAUAUAUUGAUUUAAUUACUGCUACAAUACAAUCUUGAUGCAAUUAAAAAGUUAAGGUUUCUGUUUUUCAGCAAAUGGUAGGGUUUACAAUCUUAAUGCAAUUAAAAAGUCUAGGUUUUUGUUUUUCAGUAAAUGAUAGCGUUUGGAAAAGUUGAGAGAUAUGGGAUUUCUAUUUUGAAGAACAUGAGUGGCAUGUAUUCUUACUCUAAUUGAAAUAUUUUUCUGGUAGAGCUCUAGAAACAGGGGGAUGUAGAAAGGAGAAGUUGGGAGACAAUGCAUAAUGCAAUAUAUUUCUAGAAAAAGGGGUAUAGUUUUUUUCUUGUAGAACUUGAAGAAAAUAAAGAUGAAACUAUUGUUUUGUUUUUUGAAAACAAGAGAGAAAGUGGACUUGGAUUUGUUUUACUAGAUGAAGGAAGUUGAGAUACAAUAUUUUGGAUUUUUUUUUUUGUCCAAAUUAUCUUAUCAUUCAUCAAGUAAUGCUCUAUAUAUCUGUUUAUUACAAGUGGAAUAUAUAUAUAUAUAUGUUGUCUUAGAAUUUUGAUUUUGUCAUAGUUGUUGUAUAUUCUAUAGAAUGUUAUCAUUUAGAGUACCAUGGAAUUAGAAAUUGAUCAACAAACCUAGUUUGAUAACUAAAAUAAACCACCAUUGUUUUAUCAUAGAAAACUGAAAGCUGGAGGCCUUUAAAGUAGCUGGAACAAUAAUAUGAAAGAUGCAAAAGUAUGCAUGGGAGUUACAAGGUACUUAAUGAUUGGUCUUUUUAAUUGCCCUGUGUUGUGAACAAGUAAUCAAAGUAAAUAGUGAAUAUGAGGGUUAGAGUUGAAGGUUCAUUUUGCAUAAACUUGUAGCUUAUCUAGUCUUGAAUUUCAAUUUAUCUUAAUAAACACAAAUUCUAGAACUUUUGAGUACACUAAAUACAAGAGAUGAACACUGUUAGAAUAGGAUAAAAUGGUGUACUUAUUGUCAAUACUUUUUCAUAAUUUUAUUUUGUUUAAAUGUAACAUAAAGGCACCAGUUCUAUGUGUGAAUCUAUCAAUUGUAAUUAAAUAAGUGAGAAUAUAGAAAUCAUAUGUUUUUUCAAUUUAUUUUUGUAUAUCAAAUUUUCUAAAUCGUACUCCGAUGUGUUAUUUUUUUGGUAGUUUAAACCAUGAGCCUCUUGUCAGCUAUCCAUCAAAAUUAGUCUAUUAAGUUUUUUUGAAUGUUGUUGAGGAUUAUUAUUAUUAGAGGAAUUCAUAGAAAUUAAUUUGAAAAAAAAAAGCUUGAAUUUUGUAUUUGAUAAUUCCAAAAAAAGGAUAAAAAAAAAAAACAAAUAAUAACUUAUAAAUGCCACCAAUUGAAAACUACAGUGCAUGCCUAUGCUUUAGCGGGGGUAAAAAAACAAAUGCAACUGCAUAUCUAUGGUAGGGGUCAAAAGUAGGAUUCAACUAUAAGAAUCAUUUAUUGCAUCCUAGUUGUGGCCACAGCUAAUGCUUGAGCAUGUACUCACAGUGAUAUUAACAACUGAAACUAUAAAAUAUAGUUACACCACCUAUGGCCACACUCAGUGGCAGUCAGUUUGGUGUGGUAAUAUGUUGCAAUCGCACCAUUUAUAAUCUUUAGUGAGGGUCACUGACUGCUACUAUAACCCAUUUUUCCUAUAGUACCAGUGUGUCCUAAAUGUAAGCUAAUUAUGAUCUAAUGUAUGAAUUGAAUUUGCAGUCAUAUGAGUGAUUAACCGUGACCUAUUUAAGUGUUAAAUCAAAUGCCAAAGGAACCUUAAGCAAGUACCUAAUUAAAUCUAAAAUGUAAUUAACCUUUUAAUUACUAUAUAUGUAUGUAAAUUAUGAAAAGUGAACUUGGAAGAGCACAAAAUCAAAGUAUUUAUUCAAAGCCAAUUAUUCAUCAAAUGGCCUAUUUAGGUUUAAAAAAAAAAUCCCUAGCAUCAAAUUAAGCCUAAAAUCAAUACUAAACCAUGAAAUAAUAAAAAUCAAUCACCUAAACAAUGAAUCUAUCAACACUCAUGUGUGUCCUAAUUUAUCCACACCCAAACAUGUUUAAAUUCAAAUCAAAAGAUACAAAAAAAAAAAAAAAAAAAAGUAAAAAAAGAAAGAUGAAGAAAUUAAAAAAAUGAAAAUUAAAGAAAACUAAUCAGGAAACUCUCUUAAAUUCGAUGAUAUAGAAUGUUCUUCAAAUUGUUUGAUGUCUUCAAUAUGCAGCCGAACACAUAUGUUUCUCCAAGCUAAUGAUUUCUUUCCUUCUAAGCCACUAAUGCGAACUCUAUGAGUUGAUGAUAUGUUAAUGAAAAUGAAGAUAUAUAUGGUGUGUUCUGAGGGAAAUGCAGAAGAUGAAUGAAGGAGCUUGCUAGUAUUGUAUGUUGUUGAUGUCACAAGUGUAAUAGUAGCAAAAAGGAUGUGCACUGCUAUGGAGAAGUGGAAGCUAGUGAUGUGACAAAGUGUUGUGAUCCAUUUCCACUCCACCCCAAUGGGCGGCUUAGUUUCUACCUCAACCUUUCUUUAGACUUACAACAAUAGGGUUUUGGUUGAGGAUAUGCCCAAGGAUUUACCUUUGGCAUUGUGCUUAUUUCAUGAAAAACUUUUUUACUACCAAGAACAUCAACAACCUCAAAAUCAUGCAUGUCAAUUAAAGCAUGUUCAUUCCAUGAAUGCAGGUAACAUGAUGCAGUGUGAUUGGUCAACAUUUGUUUAUUUCAUAGAGCCCUCCCUUAUGUCCUCUAAACUAGAAGCUUCUUUCCUAAUGUCUUUCUCUUCAUGUGUCUCAUAAGGGUAAGUUUCAACUAGCCCUUCUUGGUUUUGCUCAUUAGGUUGAGAAAAGGAGUAGAAUUCCCCUUGCUUUAGAGCUUUCAAAAUAGAAAUAAACCGACAUACAAAAUCUUUGAGUUCUUAUAAUGUUUGUGUAAGCUCACACAUGGAGUGUGAUUCUCCAUGAAGGGAUUAAUAGUUUCCUUAAACUUAAAAUUAGGAGUCGGCUUAUAGGAACAUAAACUUGGUUGAGGUUCUUGGUAGUAGGGAUGAAACUAUUGUUGAAAAUAUUGAGAGUGCUCACUAUAGAGGUGUUCAUUCAAGGCCUCUUUUAAUCUAGGAAUGGUAGGACAAUGGUGGGUCAUGUGUGUCUGUUAUCAUAAAUUGUACAAAGGACUUCAUUAGAGUUAGACACACUCUUAAACUCUAUUUUUUCUCCUCCAUUACCUCCACCCUUUUGGCUAAUGUAGCUAACCUAACACUAUCGUGCUUUUCACUUACAAUAUACUUCUCCCUACCCAUGGCACUUGUUCCUUCUUUUCCUCUAGUUAAAUUUUUCUUAAGCUCAGAAGAGUCCCAAGCUUGAGAACUUCUUACUAGUUGCUAUAAGAAAUCAUAGACUUCCUUGGGCUCUUUACUCAUGAAUUCCUUUUUGCACAUGGUUUCAACAAAUUGGUGAGAUUGAGUGGUUAACCCAUUGUAAAAUAGGCUAACUACUCUCCAUGGCUCAUAACCAUGAUGGAACAAAAGUUGAUUAAAUCUUGAUAUCUUUCCUAACACUCAUAGCAUGACUUCUUCUCAUUUUGUUUAAAAAGACUGAUUUUCCUUCUAAGAGUCAUUGUACGUUGAAGAGAGAAAUAUCAAUUAAUUAUAUUUUCAAACCAGGUACCGAUAAACCUUGGCCUUAAACCAUAGAACCACAAUUUAGCCUUCUCCUUUAAAGAGAAUGGAAACAAUUUAAGUCUUACAACAUCCAUAUUGCAAUUAGACUCUUAAAAUGUUCCAAAUAGUGCCUCAAAAUCUUUACGAUGGAGAUAAGGAUUUUCUUCAUCUCCCCAAAAAAAUGAGGUAGUAGUUAGAUCAUGGAUGGCACAAUGUUAAAUGAUUGGGCAUUGUAAGGAGCUAUUAUGCAAGAGGUGACACUUGCCAUGGGCGGUUGGAGCUAAUCUCUACGAGUUCAAAUUUGAGCCAUGUUGGUAGGAUUAGGAUUAAGUAAUAUGGGUCUAACUAAAUGGUCUUGACUGUCCCUAGUCUAAUUUACCAUAUACAACUUUAGCAACAAUCCUAAUAACCAAUUCCAAACAAAUGAAUUAAUAAAAAAUAAUAAAAUAAAAUAAAAAACAAGAAUAAUGCAAGUAGAUGAAAUAAAAGAAACGAGAGUGGAAAGAAUUCAUCGAGUUGUGAUGACAAUCACAACCAAAUAAACUCCCACAAAAUUUGUUGCAAACUUUAAGAACUUUCCUCAAUAUUGAUGCUAAAAACUUGACAGCACCAAAUGUGUGUGAAUAAUUUAUUGGUUCCCCAAGCAUAGGGGUGUGGUUGUAGCUUUAGAAAAAACUCGGGAAGUUGGGUAUCUAACCUCAAAGAAGGGAUCUUACAAUGUAGGUGAGGUGGAAAGAAUAAAAAAAUGAAUAAAAUUGAUGGUGAAAAAUAAUACUUUCUUGAAUUCUUGCUUGGGCAAAGAAGUGGUUGGAAAGUUGUGAAAAGUUGUAACUAAUAAUCAAGGAAGGGGGAAUCCCUAAGGUCCUUUCCCUACCUUAGAAUGAUCCUUGUCAUUCAUAUAUCAUUUGAAAGUGUUCACUCAUCAAUUAAAUCCCAAUGUAUAACCCUAAGUUUUCCUAAAAAAUCCAAAAUAUAAGUGAUUUGAAAAUUGUUGUCUUGGGCUUACAUAGGGUUGUUCCAAGUGAAAAUGGUUUUUCCCAUUAAAUGCUUGGCAUACCCUAUGGGAAGCCUAGGCUUCAAUAUCUAAUUAGGCAUAAACAUUUAGUGGUUUCAUGAACCCAAUAUAUCAACCAUUUUUCCAAUUAGGGUAUUUAAGGUUGUCCCAAGUCAAAAUGGCUUUUCCAUUAAGCACUUGGGAUACCUUAUUGAGACCUAUAAUUCCCAAUUAUUAAAUGUUGAAAUGAGGUGAUUUAUAUUGAACAAAUGAGAUUCUAUUGAUGAAUUAAAAACAAUUGUUAAUGAAAGGAUGCAUUCCAAUGGAAGAAUGGGAAGCCUAGGGCACCCUUUCCCCAACCUAAAGAAAAAUGCAAUAGAUAUUGAAUUGAAAUUAACUUGAAAGAAUAAAAGGGAAAGCAAUAAGUUAAACAUCAAACCUUAAAUCAAAUAUAAAAUUUCAAUGAUCAAUGAUAAUAAAAGGAUUCAAUUAUGCAUUAGAUAAAACCAAUUCAAAAUAAAGGAAAUAAAUGAAAGCAAGAACAAGAAACUAAAGAAAACUUAACAACAAAAAAGUGUAUCCAAGAUCUCCAAUUCCCAAGGUUGACUCCAAGAAGUAGCAAAAUAUGUAAGAACUCCCCCUUAAGGGAGAAGAUCUGAACCCUCCCAAUGAUUGCUCAUUGCCUCUUUAUAUCAUUCCUUAAAUCAUCCCUAUGUUCCUUCAAAUGAGAGCUUUUCCCAUGCAAGUCAAGGGCUCAAGAAUGGGUUGGAAUCAGCCCCCCUCUUUGGCCCAGCCCAUUCCUCAUUUUUAAGAAAAUUAAAACGCUUUUCUUGUGUUACAAUUAUAUGAGUUUUAAGGCCCAAAGGGCGAUUAUAGGUGGCGAAGCCGAUGUAAGGCCCUUGGUGGUGCCUUCAUGUGUUGAAACAUCACUUGUAUUUCUCAAAUUUAUUCCUCCAAACUUUUAGGCAUGUUUUGCAUCACGAGGAAUUGAUAUGGGAACAUCCAGAUCUAGGUAUGAGUAUUAUAUCUCUAGACCUAUCAUUAAUAAUAAUUUUUUAUUAUCAUUUUAUUCUAUUGUGAUAGAUUUAGAGAUGCAUAGGGAUAUAUGCAUGCACCCUACAAGAUCCAAGGCAUAGGAAUUGAGAGAUCCAGGGUUCCUAACAAAUACCAUAUACAUAUAAACAUGCAUUUUUUUCCUUUUUCUUUUCUUUUUUCUGCAUACUAUGAUCAACAAGGAACAAUCUCCAAUAAAGAUACAUAUAAUAAAGCUCUCCCCACAUAUUGUUAAAAUGUGAAUGCUCAUUAACAAGAUAACCCUCUCAAGCUAAUAUCUUUGGAUCGUUGCCCAUUGGGAGAAAUAGAGGAAGGAUAUGAUUGUCCUCCACAUAGUGAUAUAUGGAAAACCAUCUCUUAGGGUGAAACAAAGAGAAUGACAAUAAAAAAUGACAUGAGAAAAAGAAAGAAGGGAUGAACAUCACAAGUGAUGAUACAGGAUAUAGGAAAAAGUUGAUAAAGACAAACUAGAGAAAGCACAAUGAAAGGUGAGGAAUAAGACCCAAAUAUGUUUGUUAGGUCCAAAGCUGAUGAGAUCCCUAGUCAAAGCACGCAAGCACUAUAAGGUCCCUAACUCAAUGUAAAUAGUGAGUGAGGUGAUGAAAAGAAAAGGUUAUGAUGCUCGCAUGAGGCUCAAAGGGCUAUCAAUAGAUAACUCUAUAUUUAAAGGUGAUUGGGUAUAAAGGUUCAUGGAAUGAUGACCACCCAUCCUUUGACCAUAACAACAAACAUUUUUCUCACAAACUCUCACAUGGUUGGCACUACAACUUGGUGUUCAUCUAAUAUAGCUAUGCCACCCUCUGGAAUGAUGUGAAAUCUUACACCAGAUACUCCAUGUAACCUCUAUGUCUAUCUCAAUCUUAGAAUAGUCAAUAAUCUCAUCAAGCAACCAACCCACUCUCUCAUCAUAAGCCACAUGUCAUCAUCUCAUGAAACCAACCUCUAUAGACAUGCCAACUCACUGAAGUCAUGUGUAAGGGCCUAAUUUGGAUACUUUGCGACAACCUCAAAUAUUCUCUUCUCGACCACUAAGUAGUCAAUAAAUACGUAGAGUAAUCAACUAACUCCCUCAUCACAAACUAUCUCUCAUACUACAAAAGUCACCUUUGGUCCAAUCCUCUCAAACUUUACUUGGUUGAAUUGAAUAAGGGAUGUACAAGGAUAGAAUAUGCGAAAAAGUAAAGGUCAUGCAAUGGUGUUAAGGAGAAAUAUUUUGGACAAGGUAUUGCUUUAAUCGAAAGGCAAAAUAGGUCACAGUCUUGAACUCCCUAGGUUAAUCCUCUGUACCUAGGUCAAUUGACUCAAUAUCCUCCAUGAUGGGUUAAGUCUUAGUGGUCAUGAUAUGCAAAUGAUGAGAUGUCUCAUAUCAAAAGUCUAACAUAUAUCAAUGUGGGGAGGUGCAAAAUAAAAAACAUACUCAUAAGAAAAAAAAUUACAUAUACCUAUAAGAGAAAAAGAAAAACAUAUACUCAUAGAAAAAAGAAUAUAUCAUUGAAUGAAUUGAUGACUACAUCAUAUGUGAAAUAAAAAUGACUCCAAACAAUUGGACUCUCAACAUAGACUGUAAACUACAACUCUACUAAAACCAAACUCGACAAAAUGAAGAUGGCUCUAUCAACAACCAUAACCAAACCAAAAAAUGCUCUAAACUAAAAUGUUGUAAAGAGAUGUAACCACAUCAACUAAAGUAAAUUCUCAACCCAGAAGAACUUAAAGUGUUAGGUGAUCAUCAAUACCGCUAACAUCCAUAACGAUCUACUGAAUACUAAGAGGAUGAGGAACUACAUCACUAGGUAUAGGCAUAGGUGAUCAUCAAUACCGCUAACAUCCAUAACGAUCUAUUGAAUACUAAGAGGAUGAGGAACUACAUCACUAGAAUGUAUAGGCAGGGUGUUAGUGGUCACACUCAGGCCAAGAUAAGUUGACCAUCCAACACUAAUCAAAUCAUGUAUCACAUAGAAGAGGGUUGUGCAAUGCUCAAUAUCUUGAGUUUAAUGAUAUAAACAAUGCUUAUGUAGAUAGAAGUGGAGGAGAACAGGAUGUGGUAGGGGACAUGGUACAAAAUGGGUUAUUAAUCUAACAUCUUUGAACUUCUUAAAGCUCUAGUCAAAGUUAUACCAAUGGUGAAAACUAUCUCGCAUGCCUUUAAACAUAUGGUUUGGGUGGUUGAAGAGCACUGGCUCUCGAAUAUGGUAGUCGUGGUUGAAUAGUAGUCUAAGCAAUGAAAGGUUGUUGCAUAUAAAUUGACUAGUAUUGGCACUAUGGAGAAGGAAACCAGGCUCUAACUAUGGAUGGCCUAUGAUAUGAAUGAUGAGUAUUCCUCUAAUGUUGAUAAUUGAUGGUGCUAACCUCUCCAAACCUAUUGGGUGAUCUAAUAGGCUUCCUCCUCUUAUUUUUUAGGGAAGGAGUAGGGUCUGUCCACAAACCUCCGUCAAUGCCUUUCUCAACAUUGAUGUUAGCCUGAACUAAGCUCCUAAAAUCCUGGAAAGGAAUACCCAUGAGGUGUCUAGUAAACCUAGGUUGGAGGUUUCGAAGAACUAUGUCAAUAUGAUCUUGCUUAUUAGCUUGAUCUACCAUAUUGGCCACUUUUGCCCUCCAACGACUAAAAAAUGAAGAAAUGGUAUCAUCUAGCUUUUGCUUAGUAGUCUCUAACUCUCUAAUGGAAACAUCAAUAUCGACAUUGAAAGCAAACUAUGUUAGAAACUCAUUAUAAACCCUCCAUUUUGUUCCUUUAGUACAUGCCGCCCCAUUAGGUGUUCUUUCAGUACUCCAUAGCAAUUUCCCAUUGGCCCACUGCUACUCAUAUAGCUUACUUUUUUGAGCCACCUCAAUGACUAUAGUUAAAGGAUUUAUCUGACCCCUCAUUUUGACCCUUGGCAACCUUGAGUUAGAUCUAUGAUUUUCUUUUUUUCUUUUUAGGAUAGAUCAUUUAAGUACACUUUUAAAACACUUAAACAUGCCCUAACACACUUACACAUGCCUUAGCACACAUAGACACACCCUAGGUCAAUUAGGCACCUUUUCUAAUCACCUUAGGUCACUUAAGAACUUCUUUGAUCACCCUAGGUUACUUAAGCACCUUUUCUAAUCACCUUAGGUCACUUAAGAACUUCUUUGAUCACCCUAGGUCACUUAAGCGCCUUUCCUUAUUACCCUAGGUCACUUAGACACUUUUCUAAUCACCCUAGGUCACUUAAGUACUUUUCUGAUCACCCUAGGUCACUUAGACACUUUCCUAAUGACCCUAGGUCACUUAGCACUUUCUUGAUCACCCUAGGUCACUUAGACAUUUUUUUUAGGAUAGAUCACUUGGACAUUUCUUUCGUUUUGUUUCACUUUAGGUUAAGUUUUCGUUUUGGUUGCUUGGUUUUAGGUGAGUAUUUGGCUUGAUUUUGAUUUUUUGAUUGCAUGAGAUAUAGUUUUUUUAGUUGUGCUAGUUCGAUAUUCCAUUUUUCAUUAUUAUCAGUUGCAUUGAUAUUCAUUUUCAAAUUUCGAUUGCAUAUGUGAUAUUUAUUUUUUUUGUUUUAGAAAAUGGCUUAAGAUUGAGAAUUCUUUUUAUUUUUUAUUUUAAUUGGGUGAAUUAAUAUUUUGAUUUUCUUAUACAUAUAUUUUUUUGAUUCUUUAGUUUGUUUUUCUAUUCCAUGAUUUCUAAUUUUAAUUUAUUUCAUUUUUAUUUUGCAUGAACGUGACUUGCUAUUUUUUCUAAAUUGUAUGAUUUUAUAUUUUAUCUUUUAUUUUCAAAUAUGCAUCUUUCCUUUACUUUUUGUUUUACUUUUGCAUGAAUUCGGAGAUAAUGGGGAAUUUGUUUGACAAAGAAACAUGGGUUGCCAUCCACUUACCUUAAGGACCACACAAAGGAUAUCACUUAUUAUGGGAAGGAAGAGAUCUCCACGCAUGCACUUGGAAAGAAUGGUACAUAGCCAAGCAUCAAAAGGAAACUAGGGAUUCUGCCAGUUGACCGGAGAGUCCUCAUUGAAACACAACACCAUGGGAAAAAGAGGAAGAGAUUCAACUCGCGCGCACUAUCGAGAGAAUUUUCCAUAGGAGACCACGAUCAGUAACAUACAUCCAUUCGGGGGAUUCCCGAGGGCAGGAUAGCGUGCAUUCUCCAUAGCCAGCCACACCAUAGUGGAGAUAUCACAUAUGCACUAAAAGAAAAAAACUUGUUUCUCUCAAUAGAAGAACAAAUAACGCACCAUAGGAUUUUUAAUGGAAAAAUAGGAAGGGAUACACAGAUUUUUGGAGUGGAUUGCAUUGGGGAGGAGGACGUAAUCUUCAGUUUGGGGGAUAUCCACCGACACCAUGGGAAUGCAUAUAGAAAGCAACAAAGCACACACCAUGCGGAAUGGUUCCCAACAUGGCUGCAUAUUGUAGCACACUUGGAGAUCUUUUGGGAACACGCAUCAUUGGAGGAAGUCAGACCACACACAGCAGAUUGUCAUUCUCCAAGACUUACACGCACAUGCCAUGCCGCCUUGAAGGAUUUCCAUUGUGGGUGCCAUUCACGGCUGCACCUAUUUUAAAUAGAAACACCACACUGCAACAUGUAUUUUGGAGGCUACCUGGACGCACUUUCCAUGGGCUGCAACUUGCAAAAUUUGUUCACAACCACACUUAGGUACUCUCCAUCAGUUUCAGAGUGGUGUACAACAAUCAGAUAAGAGGGAAAUACAGAGUCCCGGGGAAUUGCAUUCCCACCUACACACAUUGUUUCGAAGAGGUAAGUUAGAUUCUUGUUUAUUAGUUUUGCUUUUUUUUUUUUAAUUAGGUUAAAGUUUUUUUUUAUUCAUUAGUCUUGAUCCUUACUAUUAGUCCGAAAAAGUUAUAUAUUAAUUUUGAUUCAUCUUCUCUAUUGGAAGCCUUUAUAUUUUUUUUUAGUUCGUUAGAUUAAAUGAUUCCAUGUGACAAAGUGUUUAUUUUUAAAUUUGUUUUUAUUUUAGUUUAGUUUAGAUGCACUAAUAUAUCUUUUGUUUGUUAGUCUAAUUCAUUCCAUAGGACAGAUUUCUUAUUUUCUAGUUUGUUUAGCUUUAAUUUGAUUCAUUUUAGUUGGAUUUAGAUGCUUCUAUAAUUUUAAUGGAUUCUAUGUGAUAAAUUCUUAUUUAAUUUUUUUUUUUCUGAUUUAGUUUGAUUCCUUUUAGUUAAUUCAAAAGUUAUUAUAAUUUUAUUUAUCUAGUUUGAUUGAUAUUUUAGUCUUAAAAUUACUAAAUUUAAAUUCAUGAUUCAUCUUAUAUUUAAUCUAAGUGUUUUACAGAAAUUCAACUACUUGGUUUAAUUGAUUCCCCAUUAUUUCCUUUAUGCUUUAAAAUUGAUAAUUUUAGUGCUUGAUUGAUUCUAUUUAAUUUAUGUUUUCUGAUAUCUUAAUUAAACAAUUGAUGUGUUCAAGAUUGAUAAUUUUUUAGCUUUUGAUCCAUCUUGUUUUAGUCUAUAUACUUAUAAAAUUCUAAUGGUGAAUUAUUGAUUGUUAUCAUGUUAUUCUAUUUUGUCAAAAAAAUGCUUUGCUUAUUGUUGUUAGGAUUGAGCCUUGGAAAGCAUGAUAUGAUGUAACAGAUUGAGAUUCAUUUAUAAAUUUAUUUAUUUAUUUUUCUUGGUUUCCCUUAAAUAUCUCAUUUGUAUUAAUUGGUUAUUUGAGCAUACACACCCCAUAUCACUUACAUUGCAUAUGACUUAGGUGCAUUAAGAAUUGCACAAAUGAUCCAAGUCAUGGGUUUCUUACAGGGUAAUAAGUUAUCCAUUGUUGGUUCAUGGAUUUGGGCUAUCCAUCUGAGAUUAUAGUACACUACCUCCUAAUUGGAGGGAUGACUUGUCUUGGCUGUCGGGAUGGUUUUCCCAUGGUGAGUGUAUCAGUACAUUUGAUGUGCAUUGAACAAGACCUACAAUGAAUCAUAAUACAAGGCUAUUAGUUGUCACAAUUCACCAAGCUGCUAUACUGCAUGGACUCUCAACCUUGAGAGGAUAUUAAGCUUGUGCCAAAGUUAACAUGAGGCUUUGACCAAUGGAUGAGACCCUAAAGUGGUCAUAUAUCCUUAUGGAUUGGGUCAUUGUUGAUGGAGGUUGGUGGCAAUAGGUAUUCUCAAUAAAGACACCAUGAUAUCUCAUGGAUUGAGACGGUGUGUCCCUUUGGGUGAUCCAAAAGACAUGUGAUCUAAAAGACUAUGGCUAUAGCAUUUCCUUUAGUGAAAAUUUGGCAUAUACUCCUUAGAGUUAGAGUAUGUCAAUCGAUCACAUAAUAAGUGGAAUCUGUAACUCAAGGAUUGAAGAGGUAAUCUUGAUAGGUGAGAGCACCGCCUUGUUAGAUUACAUACACCAGUUAUGGGGAGUAUGCAUUCAAUGGAUAGUAAGUCAUGGACCCCGAGCUUCGUCUCAUUGUUAUUUACAUGGGAUACUAGAGUACAAUUGAUUCUAUUUAGUGGAAUGUUGAAUCAACUUCAAACUUAGAUUCUAAGAGAGCCUGUACUCCUAUGGGUCUUAAUGGUUCCCACCUUGAGCUCAUAUACCAUGAUGACGUGUUUUAUAAGGGAUGAAUUAGCUUUUGGUUAAUUUUUGUGCAUAAGGGCAUUUUGGUAAUUAUGCAAGGUUGCACAAGGGAUAGUGAACAAGUUCUCUAGAUUAAGCUAAUUGAUUAAUGAGAAGGUCCUAUUGAUUAAUUAAUCAAUUAAGACCCAUUUUGGGCUAUAUUAAGUGACCCAAGCCUUGGUAGGCUUACUUAAGCCAAUAAGGGAACGCUAUAAAUCCCCCAUAAGGGUUAGGGUUUCCAUAAACUUGAGAGAGACUUUGUCUUCCACCUCCAGAAAAAUAGAGAGAUAGUGAGAGACAAGAGAUCCUCAUUUCCAAAGCCCACAUUUUGGAGUGUCAAAAUCGUGGUUUAAGUCAUCAGGUGAAAGAUCUUGGAUGUACAAGACUUUUAGAUUCAUUAUUCUUCAUCUUCACUGAGUGGAAUUGAUUUGGGAACAUCCAAAUCAAAGGUAAAGUUCUCUAAUGACUUUCCUCUUGAUCCUAGAAUUGUAAAAAUAUGAUUUUUGCUUCUAUGGCAUAGGAUCUGGAGGUUUAGAGUAGUUUUGCAUGCACCUAUAUGAUCCAAGGUAAGGGAAUGGAGAAAUUCAAGGUUCCCAACAAUUGCUCUGGUGAAACCCCUACAUAAAAAUCAUUUUUCAAAAACCUUUUAUUGUUAACUUGUUUAAUUUACUAUGUCUUUGAAAAGAAAAUUGGAUUUGAUCUAUUUUGAUGUUUUUAAUUCUUUUUUCCAAUGAUUGUAUGAUAUUGUAGACAUCUUGAACAUGAAUUUAGAACUUUGUUUGAGUUUUAAAAAAAAAAAAAAAAACAAUUUUGAAAUGGAAGAUAUAAACAAGACUUUUAAGGGUUUCGUUUUCACCUAAUUCUAAACACUCGAAAUGUUUUGUAAAAAAAAAAAUUAUUACAUGACUUUGUAAAUUCGAUUUAAUAUUUUUUUUCCUCAAUUUUAGACUUCUUGAAAUUGAUUUUAGACACAUAAAAUAUUGAAAAUAAUUUUCCUAAUUGAAAGAUAUAAUUUUCCUUUUCUGCACUAACUAUACUACCCAAAUUUUGAAUAGAGGGGUUGUUUGAUUGUUUUUAAAAUUGAUCUAUGUGCCUUUUGACCUUGUCUUUAUUUUUCUUAUAAAGUAGACAUUCUAAAUUUUUUUUCAUUAUUUUUAGACUUCUUGAAAUUGAUUUUGGACACAUAAAAUAUUUAAAAUACUUUUCCAAAGAUAUAAUUUUUCCUUUAUGCAUUCAUUGUACUACCCAAAUUUUGAAUAAAGGGGUUGUUUGAUUGUUUUUAAAAUUGAUCCAUGUGCCUUCUGACCUUACCUUUAUUUUUCUUGUAAAGUAGACAUUCUAAAAAUGUUUCAUGAUUUUUUAACACUUCUAUGUUAGUUUUAAAAAAUCAAUUUAUGCAUGUUAUUGAAUUUUGCCUUAGUUUGAACCUUUUAGGAUGUUUUUGUAAACUAGAAUUAAUUGGAGCUUUAUUAAAUUUUUUGGCCUUUUGGGUGAUAAUCUAGACAUAUAGAAGAGGUCCCUUGAAAAUAUUUGUAAUUAAAUCCACAUUCUAGAUAUAUUUUUUAGGAUUUAUUUUGCAAACCUUUUUGUUCUAACUACAUGCUGAAAUUUUAUACAAUGUUUAACUUAUAUUUUAAUCUGGCAUUAACUUUGACUUUUGUUCUAUAAUAUAGACAUAAUGAGGAUGUUGUGAGAUUUUUUUAAUGAUGAAAUAGUGUUUCUAGAUAUUUAGAUAGGAUUUUUCUUAUGGAUGUUAUCAUUUUAAUCCUUUGUUGUGUGGUUUUUCUUAAUCACUAAUUUUGGUAUUUUUGUUUUCACGUACACAGUUUAGCCUUAAUGAUAAGUUGUAUGCAUAACCUAUGCCAUUUAUAUUAGGGUCUUGAAUCCUAUUUAUUUGUUAUUGCAAUUGUUCUAACCCCUUCUAGCUAUGUGCAAGCACAUUGUAGGUUAUGCGUGUUAUCUAGGUCUGUCCCUUACAACCUUUAUCUCUUUAACUCUUUAAAUAUGCAAACUUUGUUUGUGAAUACUCUCGUGCUUAAUAUUAUCUUGAUUGUUCUAAUUUGUUGCUUGAUUCCUUGAACAAGAUGAAAUGCAUGUUGAGUGUUGUAUCAUUUGUUAAACUAACCUCUAAUGUUUCAUGAAAACACUUUAGGAUGCAGCUUAGGUAUGCUAAUCUUCUUUUCUUAUAUAACUAUGUUUUUGGUAUGAUUGUUUUGUUAUGAAUACCAUGUUUCUUAGCCUUAAAAAAAUCAUCUUUUCUUUUUCUUAGCAACCCUGAUCUAGUAAUUAAUUGUCAUGCUUCCUGGAACCUAGUCAAUAGAGACUUUUUUUUAAGACUUAAAGGGAUACUACCUUUUUAAGGUACCUUCUUGAUAGGUAACAUAAUCCCUAGACCUAGACUUGAUUUUUUCAAAUAUAUGCUUUCCAAAAGUUUAAGGAGUCAUUUUUCUUAGGGUUUUAGUUUAUCAUUUUAUUUCCCCUUUUAAAAAAAUUACAAAAAUAAGUGGUGACUCUAGUUUUUUUAUAAAAUAUAGUUUUUCACCUUUAAAAGUGAGUCUUGCCAACAAGUGGGGAUGCAUGUGAAAAGUGCAAGUCCACACUCAUAAGUUACAUCCUCCAAAGUACAAAGUCUUGAAGGCUCAAUAGAUGCAAACCACCUAUGUGUUGCUCCACUAAAUGACACGGGGAAUAAGGUAACUAAUUAUGCAUCAUCUAAUCCAUGUUCUCUCAUAAUUUUACUAUAGAGCCACAUGAAUCUUCAGGCAACCUACUCCAUUGUAACGCUCAAUAUCUAACAUACAAAAUUUGGCUGGUAGGCAAGUAAGCAGCUAGUAAACCAUCAUUGUCAUUCUAGGUCAUACCCUCUUCCUAUAGCAUCAUUUGUCACAUCUUGGUCUCAAGUGUCUCCAUUCUAGCUUCCUACUCCACCAAUAUUACAUCAUUCAUAACAUGAACAAUAGGAGGUGGUGCCAAAGUAGCAGGUGGUGGAAUAGUCUCAUAAUGGUUUGACAAGUGAAGUGGAGCACCAUGUGAAACCUAAGGUGGGGGAAUCUGUGGUGUUUGUGUAUAAGAAGAGUCAUCUCAACUAUAAUGCAAAUUAUACAACAAAACACAUGAAAGACACAAGAGAAGACACUAAAGAAAAUAAUACAACAAAAGGCAAACAAGAAGUACAUGGUCCUGAGAUGGCAAUGUAAAAGUUGGAUGUAUGAUAAAAAAUUUAUAGUCAUAGAGGAGUCCAUUAUGAGAUGGCUACAAAUGUGACAAGAGAAUUUUUAUCAAUAAUCCAAAAUGAAUGAGAUGUGAAAAAAGAAAUAUUAUCAUGAGAUUAAUACUCCAUCUCAAAUAAUAUGUCCUUGAAUCAACUUUUAACCCGAGCUCCAUAAAGGAAAAUGAUAAGGUGAUCAAGGUGAAAAAUGAUAAGGUGAUCAAGGUGAAUCUCUAAAAAAGGUGUAAAUGUGAAAAUAUUUCUUUCAUCUUUCUUUAAUGAACAUAAUGAGCAUAGAGGUGAAAAUGGAAUCAAGUGCAUUUAACUAGGAAUGGGGAAACAAACCCAUGAUAGGUAUAGAAUAUAAAAGGUAAGUGUGAUCAAUGAGCAUGUCUUAAAGCACCAAGCAAAGUGCAACAAUAAAUUGAUAAAGAAUGUGUUGACUUUAAAAAUAAAGAGUGAUAGAAGUCUUAAAGAAAACAUAAGCUAGACUUAGUGAACAAAAGUAAGAAGCCAACAUAAUGCAGCAAAGAGUGGGUUGACAAAUACCCAAACUUGCAUUGAUCUCUAAGCACACCAAAAAAGAUACCAAAAAAGGAGGAGUGUUGGAUCCAUGACAUGGCUAAAGUGGUACCACAAGCUUAAAUGCACCCACAUGUAGGAAGGAAUCCUAAUCAAAGGAUCUAAAGCUCAACCUACAAGGUUAAGGUGGCUUUAAAAUACGGUAGGCUAAAAAAAGAGUCCUUAGUAGAAGUAAUCAUACCCUCCCUUAGUGCUAACCUCCUACACACCUUCGAAAAGAUGGUGUGCGUCCAUGCAAGGUGGUCAUUAUCUCCACACAUGCACUACCUCACAUCCUAAGGGGCUUCCUAAUGGUUAAGACUCUACUAUUGGUUAGCACAUCUCACAACUUUCAACAAUCAACAAUGAUCUAAAGUGCACACUGGUCACACAAAUAUCCUAAAUCUAUCUCUAGGCUAUACAAGUCUUCAAAGAUCAGACUCCAAGCAACAUCAAUGUGACGACCUUUUUCAUAAUGCUCCCAAAUAUACAUAUAGCACAUCAUUAGACCCUACUAAUCACUAGCUUGAUUGGAAAACAAACAAACAUAAAAACCUCACAUAAAACAAUUGUGAGAGUAAUGAAAGAAGGAAUCAACCAAGACUAAGGAGUCAUAAAUAGGGGGAUAAAUGUGUGUUCCACUUGAAUAAGAAAAACAUAGAUCAUGCAAAAGCAAGACAGUCAUGUAACAAAUAGUCUUGUAAAGCAAAUAAAUCAUCCUUAUCUACACAUAAACUAAACAUGGAUAAGAUGAACAAGAUGAAUAUACAACAAGAAUAAUCAUGCCAAGAUGAGUGAGUUAGAACAAGGAUAAUCAAUAAUGUGAAGAUGACAAGAUAAGUGUACAACAAUGGUAAGAUGGGUAGGAUAACAAUGCAAUAAGAAUAAUGAACAUGCCAAGAUAAAUAAGACAUGUAUAUAAUAGAAAGAAACAAGUGAAAGCUCUUAAAUGAAUAAAAUACACAAGCAUGCAACAUAGAUAAUCACCAUGGAAAAGCUCUCAAUGUGCUAAUAACACAAGCAUACAAUACCAAAGCACAAAAAAAGGGUAUCCACUGAUCAACUAAUCAAACACCAUAUUUCUCUUAACUAGAGCUCUGACUUGACCCUCUUUAUUCCCUAGUGGAGUCGCCAUUUUAUGGACCCACAUUUUUCAUUUGCAUCCCCACUCAAUGGUGAAACUCGUUUUAUUAUUGUGAAAACUUGAUUUUUGAAAAAAAUUAGAGUUACAACAUUUUUUUAUUUUUUUUAUUUUUUAAAGGAAAAGAAAUAAAACCCUAACCGACUCCUUUUGAAAGGAAAAUCAUGUCUACAAAAAAUUGAAUUCAAGUAUGGGAGUCAAGUUACUUAUUGGGAAGGUACCAUAGGGUAGCACCUCUCUAAGCCUUAAAGAGGUAUUUACUAAACAAGUGGAGGGAGAUAAGGUAAUUGACAAAUAGACUAAUAGACUAAUAGAUAUUGAGAGACAACAAGAACAACAUACACCAAGGCAAUGACAAUAAUAGAUAAAAGGAUAGAACAACCAAAACAAGGCAUGAAUAUGAAACUAAUAAAUCAAGAAAGGAAGGAAACAUACUUCAAGAAGUGCGUAAAAUAGGGCAAUAUACUUACAUAGAAAAGAGGGUUCACUCACAAAAAAGAUAAGAGAUAUAAAAUCAAAAUAAGACUAUCAAUCAUGUACAAUAUAUAUAUAUAUAUACACAAUUAAAACUGAGAAGCAAGUGAUGCUUAAACAUAGAUCAAGGUGAACUAAAAUAUGCUAAACAUGUAUAGGUUUCAAAACUGGCAACCUCAAAAUAAAUGCCAAUAAAAUAGUAAAAGGGGAUAUAUCAUACAAAGGUGUGUUGAUCUAACAUGUACAAGAUGUCUAUUAUACAAAUUAAUGAUCAAAGAAGAUAAAAAACAUGCAGAAAGGAAUUGAAAUAAAACAAAUGUACAAAGUAUAGAACAAGAGGAUAGAACAUAGGUGCUUACAAAAUAAAUCAAAAAUAAAUAAUUAGAAAGAGGAUAAAAUCAUAAAAAAAAAUUGCACAACAUCCCUAGAGUGAAAACAAUAUAAUCCAAAAUUCCAUAGAGCCUAAUUAUACAACAAUUGUCUUAGAUUUAUAUGAAAAAAAAAUCAUAAUUGUAGAUUCAAAUAAGCACAACAAGCACAACAAGAUUAAAUUAAAUCUCAAGCUUGAGAAUUGAUUUUGGAGUGAAAACAAAGCUUAAUGGAUUAUUUAAGAAAUCUAGUAUAUUGGAAAAACAUAAAAGACAAUUUGAAAACCCAUGAGCUAAUUUAGAUUUACAAAAAUACUUCGGGUGUCAACAAUAGGGCAAAAUCUAGACCUUUUGAAAAACUAAUUUAAUAUAUAAGUUUGGAGAAGGAUUUUCGAUCAAAAAUAAAAAAUUGUUUGACACAUUUAAUAAUUUCAAAACAUCAUCCAGUCAUAGAAAAUAUUUUAGGGAAAACCAAAAUGGUCCAAAUUAAAUUAAACAUUUUAGGAGUCUAAAAUAGGGUAAUUGGUGGGUGGUUUUUAAGAAUCCAAAAGUAUAGGCCCUUUCCAAUACACAAAUUAAUUUUCAUGAAUUAAUCUACAUCUCUUACUCAUUGAUCAUCAUGAAGAGAAGCUUAUGAAUCCUAGAGGGUAUUAUAUUUAUUUUAGAAUUGUGAAAUUUAUCCAUGUUUACAAAAUUAAGAAAAUCUGAAAAUCAUUUGUUUAAAAAUGAGUGAUUUAGGUCAAAGAAAUGUGUCAUGGAUUAGUCCAUAGGGUGAACAUUCCUUCCUAACCCUUAAAUGAGUGUGAAAUCAGACCCAAAAAAGGCAUGGAGGGCCAAGGAACACUCAUGUAUGGAAAGGAAGGUUGGAUUUCACAAAGAAAUGGCCAUGGAUGUGGGUAUUCUUAUGUGAAAUCAUCCAUUAUGUGUGCUGAAAGAAUAAAAAUUAUUAACUAGAUGAAAAACAAUUUUCUUUGGCCUUAGACAACCAUGGGAAAGGUUUAUAGGUGUUGAGAAAGGCCUACGUAGAAAACCAUGUGAAAAUCCAUUUGAAAUUCAUGUAAAAAACACACAUUGCACACUUAAAAGGAGAGGAGUGUGUGUGUUGGAGAUCACAUAUUAAAACGAAAGGCUUUUUAGUAAGAAACAUAUGCAAUUUUCAAAUUUCACACUUAAAAGGUGUGCCCUUUAAGGAUUACAUAAAGAAAGAAUUACACUAGAAUUAGCACACUGAAAGGACACGCACAAUACUCAAAUUGCACAUUGAAGAGAAUACGUAAAACCAGAUUGUGCAUUGAAGGAAACACAUACUAGAAAUAACGCAUUGAAUGGUUACGUCCAAUACUCAAAUUGCGCAUUGAAGAGAAUGUGUAAAAUAAGAUUGUGUAUUGAUUACUACUCAAAAAGUGUUAUUUUGUAGCUUGUAAUUAACUCUUUUAAACACUUUUGAGUAGUAGUUAUUACCUUUUAACUCAAUUAACAUAUUAAGUACCUUUGCAAUCGUUUCUAAUCAAAUUGUGUUAAGUUUUGGUGUUUUUGAUAGUAAUUUGAUCACCAAAGCAAUCCAAGAUUGAGGAGAGUUCUAUGGAAUCCAUGGUAAAGCAAUUGGAAGCUCAUUUACAUGAAGAACCCAAGCUUUGAAGCUUUAUAGUCCUUUUCCAUAAGCAAAUCAUGAAUGCAAGGAGGGAAAGCAAAGAGAGAAAUCUAACAUGAAGAAUUCAAGAGGAAAGCAACUUUUGGAGCACUUCUUGGAGCUCAUUUCAUGCAUACUAAAUGUCAUUUCAAAGCUCGGGAAGUCAGCAAUCAAACGCUUCAAAUGGUACGCAAAUCAAAGUUGAAAUGAAGAAGUUAGAGCCAUUGGAAGCCAAUCACACCAAGCUAAAGGCCAAUUUCGCAGGCUGCGAAAUUACAAGGUGAUGGCUGCGAAAUCACAAGGUGAUGGCUGCGAAAUUAGCCUUUGGCUGCGAAAUGGAGACCUUCAGCUUGCGAAAUUUCGCAGCCAUCUUGCAUGCCUGCGAAAUCCUCUUGAGUGCUUCCAGAUAUUUGCGACCGACACUUUUAGAUUUUUUUCUUCAGAUAUUUGAUGUUUAAAUCCCCAUUUUCUCCUUGUAAUCAACCAAUCAUAGGAUUCCUUAGUUAUUAAGUAAGAACAAAGGGUGAAUAACCUCAUAUAUAUUUUUUGUAAUUUUCAUUACACACAUAUCUCGGGAGCUUGUUCUCAGAGACAAUUUUUUGUAUAGUUUUGAAGGAAGUAAAAUGUAGAGCUUUGCUCUACCUUACUUACUCAAUUUGAUUGUAUUUUUCUUACUAUCCAAACAAGCUCUGAGGAUGUUUCCUCAAAGAAUGAGUGGCUAGACUUUUUGUCUCUUGGAGCUAAGGUGGCUGGGUAAGGUCCCGAGUGCAAGAAUUGGUAGUUUUGUUGUUUCAGCUGUUAAUGAAGAGAAAGUGUGACCCGUUAAUGGUUUCUAUGUUUUUAGUUAACUUAAAACACCUUUAACUCACCUGGGCCAACACUUGGUAAGGCAAGUGAUCUUCGUUCAUUGAGAUGCACUAGUUUACCUCUUGCGAGCUUUUGGGAGGUGACUUGAAGGUAUGAUUUUCUAGAAUUGCCAACACUUGGUAAGAUUUUGGACUCUAAGGAGACAUCCAUUAGUUAUCUCUUGCGAGCUUGAGAAGGGAAGUCCAAGGUUAAUGAUCACCUUGAAUGGUAAAUGCUAGGUGAGAGGCACGAGCCAUUGCAAGUUACAUCAGUGAGAGAGAUUUAGCAUUUGAACUCAUUAAAGGGAAGUAUCUGUACCACACCGAUUAGAGAAUUAACUAUAUGUUAAUUCUCUAAUACGAGGAAAAGAUUCAAGUGACCGGAACUCUUUUUUUGCAUAAGGAGCCUGACCCCAGUGAUCCUAAAACUCUAAGAAACGCUUUUCUUUAUAAGUAAUUCCCAAUAUUUUAUUUUAUUUAGCUUAAAACCAAUCCUUUUUAAACCAAAGUUUAUGUUUUCUUUUGAAGCUAACCUUGAAAUGAAAAACCAUCAAUUCAACUUUGAAUUAGUAUCGGUUGUAAGUUAAAAACCCUUCCCAGUGAACGAUCCUGAGCCACUAUGCUAUAUUAGCUAAGGCUAUCCUAGUGCAUGGUGAAAUAGGUUAUAAAUUUUGUUGAUUACUCCUGUCUGAGGGCCAAACUCAAGGUACACCAGCUAGGCACGCAAUCAUGUAUAAAAGAGAAUGCAUAAAAGUAAGAUUGCACACUGAAAGGAACUAUGCAAAAUUAGAUUGUGCACUGAAGGGGGACUACACAUAAAGAGAGACUAGAAUUCACUAGUGUACAUUGAAAAAAUGGAAGAAAAUCAAAUUGUGUACUAAAGGGGUGCGCAAUUUGAAAUUGCAUACUUAAAGAGAACGUAAGAAGGCACUGAAUAAAGGAAUGCACAAUCUAAAACUACUCACUUAAAAGUGCACGGGAUACAAGUGCCAAAAAAAAAGGCACGCUUAAACAAUUGCUCAACUCAAACUAGCACACCUAAGAAGUGCACAAUUUGAAAUUGAAGGUUGGCCAUGAACAAGAAAACACGUGCACAAACUGAGUGACUCUUAGCACAUAAUGAAGGUGUGCAAUCUAGAUGAAAAACAUCAAAAAGCACACCAAAAUGCACAAUCUAAAGGCAAACACCAUAAUGUGCAUUGGAAGAUGCACAAACUAAGAAUAAGAACAUUAUAGCACACUAGCAAGUGUGCAAACUGAACGAAAAACACUCCAAUGCACAUUAAUUGGCAUGUAGACUGGAUAAAAGCCUUUGAAUGAUGCUUGAAAAACAAGUUUGAAGAAGAAUUUUAAAAUCAAAUUUGUAAAGAAAAUCAAAAUUAAAACCAUAUCGAAAUUUGUUAGGAACUCUGAAUUACUCCAUUCCCAUGCCCUAAAUCGUGUAGGGUGCAUGCAAAUCUAUCAUAGUCUCUCUAAAUGUAUUGUAAUAGAUAAAAAAAAUAUUCAAAAACAAUAUGGAUACCAUAGAAAACAUAGAUCUAGAGAAUAAAGUCAUAUACCUUUGAUUCGGAUGUUCCCGGAUCAAUUCCAAUCGAUGUAGAUAACACCAAAGUCAUAAUGGAUCUCAUAAACACCAUGAUCUUCUGCCCAAUGACUCUUCCUUGUGCCUAGGCACUAAGAUGGUGGAGACUAGGGUUCUCUCUCUAGACUGAUGGAGAGAAUGAAAAGACUUGGAAACCCUAACCCCUAAAAGGGUAUUUAUAGGCUUCUUAUUGGGCUUAAGAGACUUAAGCCCACCAUAGGCUUGGGUCACUUAAUCUAUCCUAAAAAUGUUGUUAAUUGAUUAAUUAACCAUACCAGGCCAUAAUUAAUCAAUUAGCCUAAUCUAGGCAUACCACUCACUUAUCCUCAUGCAACCUUGCAUAAUUACCAAAAUACCCUUAUGCACAAAAGUGAACUAAGAACCCAUCCAACCCUCAUAAACUGUGUCAUCAAGGAAUAUGAGCUCAAAUUGAGGACCACUAGGACCCAUAGGAGUAUUGGCUUCCUCGAAAUCAAAUUUUGAAAUGGACUCAACAUCCUACUACAAAAAGCCAAGUACACUCCAACACCCUAUGUAUAUUACAACGAGACACCAUGUGCUCAAGUCUAUGACCUACUAUCUACUACAUGCAGACUUCCCAUGAACCGGUGUUUGUAAUCUAAUAAGGUAGUGCUAUCACCUAUCAAGAUUACCUUUCCAAUCCUUAAGUUGGAUAUCUCACUUAUUAUGUGAUCAAUUGACAUACUCCAACUCCAAGGAGCAUAUGUCAAAUUCCACUAAAUGAAUUAUUAUGGCCAUAGAUUUCGUGAUCAUAUGUCCUUUGGAUCACUCAAGGGGACACACUGUCUCAAUCUUAUGAGAUAUCAUGCUGCCUCUAUUGAGAAUACCUGUUGCCACUAGCUUCCAUCAACAAGAACCCAGUCCAUAGGGAUAUAUGACCACUUUAGGGUCUCACCCAUAGGUUAAAGUCUUCUGUUGAUUUUGGCAUAAGCUCAAUAUCCUUUCAAGGUUAAGAGUCCAUGCACUAUAGUAGCAUGGUGAAUCAUGACAAUUGAUAACCUUGCAUCAUGAUUCACCGUAGGUCCUGUCUAGUGUGCAUCACAUACACUAGUGCACUCACCAUGGAAAGCAUAUCCCAAUGGCCAAGAUAAGCCAUCCCUCAAAUUAGGAGGUGGUGCACUACAGUCUUUACUGGAUUGCCCAAAUCCAUGGACCAACUAUGGACAGUUAUCUACUUACAAGGAACCCAUGACUUGUAUCUUUUGUGAAAUUCCUAAUGCACCCAAGUCAUUUACAAAGAAAAAGAUGUGGACUAAAUGCUCAAAUCAAUGUCAACACACCAACGGGAUAGUAAGGGGAUAGUUAAGUUUAACUUUGCUACAUGAUGUCUUAUUUUUAGGGGCUUAAUCGCAACAAAGUCACCAAAAUGAGAUUAAAGAAAAACAAAAUAGAAAACUAAAUCAAGCAAAGCCUUAUUUCAUAAAUCAUCAAUGGACUUGACAACAAGUGAAAAAUCCAAAAGAAUUUUAAACCAAGUCGAAAAAAACUUCUAGACCAUUACACAAUAAAGUGAAUCAUUAAUUAAAACAAUUUUUAAGUAAUCUCAUUGAAUCCAAAGAUGAACAACAAAAGAAAAAAACAUGUAUUACAAAUAAGAAUCAACAAUCUAAUGUGUGACCUCCAAUAUCCACACCCAACCAACAAACAAUCUCUAGAAUCAGCAUAAGGAAGGAGAAGAACAACAAAUGAUAAUGAAAACAUGAAAUCAAAGUGAUCUUACCAAGAAUUCUCUCCUUAAGCAAGUGUUGAUCAGCUUCUAGUAUUUUUUUUUUCUUAUCCUUUAAGCAAGAAGAUCUUCUAAAUUCAUUAAAGUUCUUUCUCCAUAUAAAAAGAAAAUGGUAGAGUAUUCCUCCCAAAUGUAAGAGAGUCCCCUUCCAUUUAUCCUUCCAUAAUCUUCUUUCUUGCCAAAUGAGUCUUCCAAGACUUCUUUUAUAGAGUAAGGGAUAGGGAAGGUUUGGCCACUUGUGCUCAUCUCCUUCUAUGGUCACACUCUUUUAAAACCCCUAAAAAAUACUUCCCUAAAUCAAUCUCAAACUCCUCUAAAAAGUAAAGCAAAAACUUGAGACUAAAGCCCACAAAAAAAAAAAAAAAAAAAAACACAUAAACCAAGCCUAGGGGCUACUAAAAUCUCAUUGCGAAUUUAGAAACUCCUUCUAAAAGGCCUUAAAAAGUCCCAAGAGUCAGUGACAAACUAAAUGGUGGGUGAACCACACCACAGGGCGCAAUGAAUGACUAAAUAAAAGAGAAUCCUAAGCGCAUACUAGAAGGGAGUGGAAGACGGGGGAAACAAGUAUGAAAUAACAUGUGCUAUGAGGACAAAAUUGAGGGUCUACAACCAAAAGUAGACUAGCAUUACAAAAAGAAUCAACUUAAUUGGUUGGGAAUAGGUUCAACUAGUCACCCUUUCCUAGUCGCGGUCCAAUCUAGUUUGCAUAAAACUUUAUUAUUAUUUUUUAGAUAUCAUGUGUUCUCGGUUAAGGCAAACCCAUACCUAGUCAAGGCCUAAUCGAACCUCAAAAAGAACAAAAGUCACUUGUUAUAAAUUUAUUACCUAACGACUAGUUAACCGAUAAAAAAGAAGCUCAACUAAGAAAGGUUAGCUUUCUGCUUUUUGGGUGUUUGAGGUUGAAAACCUAUAAAAAAAGAGCUUUCAUUCAUUUGUACCAAGAUAAUUAUUGCAUUGAAUUCCCUAUCUACCAUUUUCUUUCAUUCAAAGUUCUCAACUCCUUAUGCAUUAUUCUUUCACUUGCAAAUCAUCCUUAGUGCAGCUUCUAUGUUCAUCCUAACUUUUUGUGUAUUCAAGCAUUUAUUGUGCUAGAUGGAGUGUUAUUAAACCUUCAUAUAUUUGAGUAAGGUUGACCAUUGAAGUUUCAAGUUGGUGUUAAACUGAAGGAGAUUUGUGUACAUGCCCAUUAGAACCCUCACUUGGAAAGGGGUUGAGGAGAAGUGAAUUGAAGCGAAAAUUGCCUAAUAACUAUAAAAGCUGAGUUUGUAUCACUUUAACUCUAUCUUCUUCCAUUCAUUGAACUAUUAUUUGUGUAAUUAAAGGUUUUCUUUCUUUAAUGUUUUUUAAACCCAAUUUGCCUCACCCGCCCCCCCUUCUCUUGGGUAUUUUACUUAAUUGUUUCAUAGAAUGCCCUUGAAAAUGCCUAGAACAAGGGCAACAAGCUUACAUAAGAAAAAAUUAAUUAAUUUAUUAAUAAAAGAAGAUAUUUAUCAUGAAAUCAAGGAUCGCCCAACAUGUACAAGAAGUUUGUAACUUAAAUCAAAUGUCAAAAGUAGCUUAGCUAGCAUCAAAUGGGACUAAUUCAACAAGAUAUACAAAGUGUGAAAAACCAAGACAACAUGCUAAUGUGUGAAAGCUUGUAUUUAAGAAGAUUCAAGAUGAAAUAAAAAUCAAGGCAAAAAUUAUCUAACAUAUAAAAGAUUGUUAGGACAUUGAGUCUUGUUUAUAUGUUAGCAAUUUUGAAUAAAUUUAUGUUUAACCAUGGAAGUUUUUUUAAAUAGUGACUUACUUUCCAUUGAAAAUCAAGGGUUGUUAUUCGUUCAACUUGGAAGUCACAGGUAUGUCUAAAAAGGUUUGGCUUGUGGCAUAUAAAGGCUUAUUUGAGGUAUAAAAUGCUCAGUAUCAUUUUUUAGCUUAAAAUGUUUUAAAAUUGAUUUCUCAAAAAACAAGGGACACUCAAGCAGUUCAUCCCACUCAAGUGGUUAGAGCGUUGAAGCGGUCUAAGUUUGCUCAAACAGUCAUGAUAGUCCCACCAAGUUUAGAAACAUAUUUUGAAUGAAUUUCAAUCCAACUGUAAUUUGGAAACUUGUGAUAGUAAAAUCCUUAUGGCUUUUGCCUAUAAAUACCAGCCUUGUAACCCUUUGAGGGUUAGAGAAUCAGGUUAAGAGAUUAGAGAUUGUAGAGAUCUAAUUUUUAGAGACCUCUCAUUCUUUAGAGGUACUCUUUGAGAGGAAAGAAUAAUUAACCUAAUAUCUUGCAAGGCUAUUCUAAAAGGUUUAUAUUUAUAUUUGUUCCUGCAUAUAUUCUGGUUGAAGAUAGUGAAUAAAUUUGAUUGAUUGGUUAAUUGGUUAUUAAGUUUGUUGAUUUGGUAAUCUUGUGGUGGUUAUACCUAGAAUCAAUUAUUGAUUUGUUGGGAUUAUUUUUGAGUUUGUUAGGUUGGUUAUUCUUGUGGUUAUUAUCCCUAACAUUCUUCAACCAAUAUUGUUAAUAUUUGGAUAUCAAUUAACCAUAAAAAUCAUAUUUUUAUUUUUAAUAUCCAAGUUAUCCUUAUAAUAUCUUGGAUAAGAAAAGCGAUCAUAAUUUACAAAUAUUGAUUUAAAAAUUUAAAAUCACUCAUUCAUCUCUCCUUUAGGUGUUCCUUAUUGGACUUUUGAUUAUUCAAAGUGUAUUCAGAGCAAUACCCAUAUUUUUUCAAAGAUGUCUUAAAAAAUUUCAAAAGUCAAAGGAACCCAAAUAAACACUAACUAAUACAAAUUUCAAUAAACAUUUCAUAACUCAAAAAUAGGACAAUAUACAAACACAUAAAAGAUUGAUUUAUUCCAUAAGCAUAACAAAUAAUUUUUUAACAAGGCCAAAUGUCUAGAUAAAAUUACAAGUCUUAAAAAAAAAAAAAAAAUGAAUGAAUUGGGAUUGAUUCACAAAAGCAUUUAGUUGCUCCAAAAUAGGGCAACAAACAAGCAAUUGAGAGAAAUGAAUUAUUUAAAAAGCUUGGGAAAGAGUUUUCCAAUAAGGCAAAAAAUCUUUAACACAUUCAAGAUUUCAAAAUCCAUUUGAAGCUUCAAAAAUAAUUUAGAGCAUGUCAAAUGGCCUAGAUUUACAAAUAUAUUUUGGGACUAAAAAAUAGGGCAACAAGUAAUCGACACUUACAAACAAUAUAUGCAAGCUUAAACAUAAACCUAAAUUUUUAUGCAUAGACAAUCCAACAUUUCAACCCCUUAAUAAGCAUGACAAGAGCUUAUAAGGGCUAAUAAUAAUCUUAUUCAUCUUAGGUUUCAUGGAUAGUUCAUGUCUCCAAAAUAAAGAAAAAUUGAAAAUCAAAUGUUUAGAAAAUUGAGUGAUGUUGGCCAAGGGCAUAGGUCAUAGUUCAACUAUAAGGCUCUCUCACAUUCUCAGCCCCCAAAUGAACAUGAAAUUAAGUUCAUAAAAGGCAUGGAAUGCCAAAUUAUACUCAGAUUUGGAAAAAAAAAAAUUGUUGAAAUGCACAUAAAAGUAGAUUAUAAGGGUAUGUGUUUUCAUGUAAAUUCAAGUUAUUUAUGUCAAGGAACGUGGCUGUCAUUAAUAACCAUAAAUUAGCCACAAAUUCAAGUCCCUAAUGAUCAUAGAAGUAUAUUCACAAGGGUUGAAAAAUGACUUUCAGUGCUCCACAAUAGUUCCUUGGUGGCCCAUUGCUACUCACACUAUUUACCUUUUUUUUAGCCACCUUAGAGACUCUGGUUGAGGGAUUUAUCUAACCCCAUUGUGACUUUUAGCAACCCUAAUUUAGACUUAGGCUUUUCCUUCCUUUUUAGGAUAGCUUUUAGGUGCACUAUUAAGAUAGUACACUUAGGCAUGUUUAGGUCACUUAGACAAUGUCCUGAUCACUAUAGGUCACUUAGACACUAUCCUAAACCACCUAGGCCCAUUAAGACACAUUAGGCUUACCUAGGUCACUUAGGCUCACUUAGGCACACUUGGCCCAUUAGACAUUUUUAGCAUGACUUGUAUGAGUUGCAUGGUUGCAUGGCUUGUGUGGCUCAGUUAUUUAUUUAUUUAUUUUUAUUUUUAUUUUUAUUUUUAUUUUUAUUUUUAUCAUUAUCAAUCACUUGUUUAUUUUUAUUUGUUAACUUCCUUUUUAUAUUAUUUUUCUUAUUUUUUUAAUUAACUUAUUUAUUUAUUAUUGUUUUAUCGUUUUCUAACUUAUUUACUUAUUUAUUCAUUCAUUCAAUUAUUUAAUUUAAUAAAUUUCAUGCUUUUGCAAGGAAACUUACCAUUGGAGUUUAAGAAAUGUGGGACUCUCCUUGGAAGACGUUUUAGGGGAGUUUUAAAUUUUGAGGAUUUGUUUUGGUGCGGAAGAUAUGGAGAUGGCAUGGGAGUCUAAGGAAAGUGAGACUCUCCUUGGAAGGCAUUUUUGGAAAGUUUGAAAUUCUAAGGAUUUGUUUUGGUAAGGAAGAUAUGGAUAUCGGGAGUUUAAUUAGACUCCUUGAGAAUAAUUGAGAGUCCACAACUACAUGUAUUUUUUAAUAUAAAAAGGAGAAUUUGAACUGAAAUGGGAUUUUUGGAUGGGAAGAUUGGAAAAAAAAGAAAAGAAAAACGGGAGACUAUUAUUGGAGAAUGGAUUCACGGAUGAGAGGAAUUCUUUUAGACAUCAUGUCAUUAAUGGAAUUAUGUGCGCCGCCUUCAAAAGGGAGAACCACCCUUGGAAAGGAGAGGUUGCCACUUAAAAUCCACAAGACGUUUACAUUGAAGGAACACGUACAGCCCACAUAAAAGAACACGCACCAUAAGUUUACAAAAUCGACCACACUGCCAAAUUUUUGGAGCAAACAACCAGCAGGCAUUCUGGACAUGUUCCAUGGAGAUUGGGGAAGAAACAGCUGCACCAUCAAUAUAGAGAAGAGGGCUACCACUUUGAGUCUUCAUUACGCAUCAGAUUUUGAUCCAAAGAGAAUCAUUCACAACCCGGAAAGAAUAUACGGACACAUGAUAUGUGUGGGAUUUUCCAUAGGUUGCAGGCACCAUCUUGGGGAGAGCUUUUUUUCUGGAGAGAACAUGCCUACAUAGCCCAUGCACAGCCUGCACCUCUUCACAACUGUCAUCCAUGAUCAAAGUCACAGCCGGCUCCAAGCACCAUUGCUCCAUACAGACGCAGCCGUCAUGCUCCGUCCAUUGAGUGGCGAUCACUCCACCACGCACCAUGAGAGGCAUCAAUUGAUGGGGCAUCAAAGCUGAUCCCUUAGGAGUCACUAGAUUUUAUUAAGACUUUGUUGGCUGCGGUUUUGGAGAUCACAUAGCUGCAUAUUUAGAAGAUGCAACAGACUGCCGUGGCAAGACGCAUAGGAAGGAAAGGUGAUGUCCAGAGAAUGAGGAGAAUAAUCACACUACCAACAAUGCAUUACUGUCAUUUGGUGCAUUCCUCGAACCCAAAACCCUCUCUCAAUUCCAAACGCGUUUGGGAUUCACUGUUUCUGCAAGUCUCGAUGCAUUUCGGUUUAUUAAAGGUCAUCCUUCCGUCCAAUUGCACCCCGAGAUUGACCGACAGUGGAGUGCACGUUUUGGAGCCCUUGUAAUCAGAAGAUAGAUGGGACCCCUGCCACUUAAUGAUGACGCACUCCGGAUUGGACCCCAAGCCCACUCUCGCAUGGCUUGCAUGGCCACCCCUUUUGUACAUUAUUUUAAAGCCCGCAUGACUCAGUCCUUAAUUCUUCUUGCAUGUUUUCCAAAAUGGAUUUUCAAAGAUCCAUUCUUUUUCAAUUUUCUGGUGAAAUAUUAGACAGUUGUAGUGAGGACUAUCUCCCAAAUUUUUACCAAGUUAGUGAAAGAUCUCCUGGAAAUGAUUGUAUACCAGUCGGCCGGGUUGGAAUUUUUGAAUUCAUCUAGACAGUACAAACUGAUUCUGGCUAGCCCAUGCAGCCUUUUGAGUUUGUGGAAAUGGCAGCGUACAUGAAGAACAGAUGGCAACAUGCUUGCCUCUCGCAUUGAAGCUUUCACCAUCUAUUGCAGCGACGGAGCACAUAUCCUCAAAGCAUUCACUUGGGAAAAGCUAUUGGAUUCCAUAAUCCCUCUAGAUCGUUCUCUCUUCUAGCCGACUUUAGCCAGAACCAAAUGCAAUCUGGUUAUCUUUUCCAGAGCCAUCAUGAGGGAACUGGCUUCAGAGUUUCUGGAACUCUUCAUCCCUCACCGGAAAUCACCAAAACUUUGAACAACAGGGAGUCCCGGAAAGUGCCAAAAGAGAGCAGAAUGUAGUUAGGAAUUCAACACCAGCAAGACAGUCUCAGUCAGGUCUCCAGGCUCCACCCAUACAGUUGCCAACUUGGUGCACACCAUCCUCCUCUUAUUACUUCUUUUCUUUCCUGUGAACUUACACAUUUUUAAUCUGGAUUUCAAAAUCUUUCCCAUUAAAUAACUCCAGUUUUCUUUAAAAUUCCAUCCGUAGGAGUUCAUAGAUAUUGAAAUCCAGAUUUCAACAAAUCAUUGUUGCCACCUUCCUUCAAGCAUGCAUUUUCACUAUUUUCUUUGAUUUUUAAUUAUUUUCAUAAUUUUGUUGAUUUUUAACCAGCAUGAACAAACUUCAUGGUGCCAAAUAAUGGAAUUCAUUGAACCAACUCAUGCAAAAUUAAUUUGGGGAAUUGGUGGAACCCCUACAUAAAAUCAAUUUUUUCAAAACUCUUCCUUGCUGCAUGUUUUCACUCAACCACUGACCCUUUAUCUUUAAAAUUCGUUUUAGCAACUUCAGAAUAUUUUUAAAAAAUUUAUAAAACUUGUAUGAUUUUCUUCACUUCUUGAACUUGAAUUUAAAAUUUUGUUUGAGUUAGAAAGCAAUUUUGGAAUAGAAUAUAUAAAUGAGUUUUUAGGAGAGCUCUGUUUUCACCCAAUUCUGGACACAUGAAAUAUUUUUGUAACAAUAAAAUAAUAGAUGAAUUUUUAAAUUUGAUUCAAUAUUUUUUCUUAAUUCUAGAAUUCCUUAAAUUGAUCUCAGGCAUAUAAAAUAUUAAAAAAUAUGCAUUUUUGGGACAGAUAUGAUUUUUCAAAAUCAUACCUACUAUGCAUGAUGGAAUUUAGACAUCUGAUUAGUUAGAGUGUUUUAAAAAUAUUUUUAAGUACUCCCCGACCCUGGAUUUAUUUUUCCUAUGAUAUAGACACUUUGAACGAUGUGUGUGAUUUUUUGUACAACUUUAUGUCAUCUCUUAUUAUUUUUAAGAAUUUUUUUUAUGCAUGCUACCCUUUUUUUACCUAAUAUGGACUUUGUAGAAAUUUUGGGGUGUCUUUGCUGCAAUUUGUCCUUUGAAUGAGUGUUCGGUUUUUAGUAUGUUGAUUUAGAUUUGUAGGAUUUGUUUCCUGAAAUUUUUUGUAAUUAAAUUCCACUCCAAGAUAUUUUUUUAUAAAUUGUUUUGUGAUGCUCCCUUUUCUAAUUGCAUGAUGAUGACCUUGUACUUUGCUUGAAUUUGUUAUCUGUUUUUGGAGUUAUUUGACUUAUCUUGGCUCAAUUUUGACUUUGAUACUGUAUAUUAGACAUAAUGAAUAUGUUAUAGGAUUUAUACUUGUCCUAACCACUCUAGCAAUUUUGGGGAAUCUUAUAAAUUAUGCAUGCUAUCCAGGUACACUCUCUAUCACUUACUUUUCGGAAUUUUAUGAACAUGCAUGUUGUUGUGAGCCUUAUCCAUGUUUGAUUCCAUCUUUAGGUGCCUAGAUGUCUGUUCGAUUGGCUCUGAUUAAAUACAUGUCGUGUAUUAUAUUUUUGUGCUAACUUUAAUGUCUUAUGAUAGCGCUUGAGAGGCAGUCCAAGUACAUAUCCUAACAUUUCUUUGUGAUUGUGAUUUGAUCUCUUUUUUGGCAUGCUAGUUUUGAAAUCACCUUAGUCUACUAGGUACCUUCAAUCAAUUGAUUAAUUGCCACUUUUCCCUCAACUUAGUCAUUAUAGACCUCUUUAGGGCUUAGAGGGGUGCUACCUCUUAGAGGUACCUUCCCAAUAGGUAACCUGAUCCUCGGACCAAGACUCGGGUUUUUCAAGCCUUGUUUUCCAAAAACUAUUGAGUCACUUCUUUAGGGUUUUCUUUCUUGUUUUAUUUUCCAUUUUAAAAUAAAAUAAAAUAAGUGGCGACUCCAACUUUUCCAAAACUAAUUUUUCACCAAUAAAAAUAAGUCUCACUGAUUGAGUGAGAACACACAUGAAAAAUGCGGGUCCACAAAUUGGUUUUAAAAAUACUUGAAAAAUUAUAAAAUUGAGAGAAACUACUUAUAUUUUCAAGCAAAAUAGUAAGACUAAAGUCCAUGUCUAUGGACCUAAACUUUGGCCAUGAGAUUGACCAUCAAGGUGAGUUUGAAAUUCCAUUAAAAAAAUUAUUGAAAUAAGAGUUAAUAAUCAAUUUUGAGAAGAAAACAAAAAACCAAAAGCAACUUUAUAGAUUUUUUUCUAGGAAGAAAAUAUUUUGGCAAAACAUCAAACACAUGUGGUUCUCUAUUUUUCUUUUCAAAAUUAGUAAAAACUACUUCCAAAAGUAUUAAAACAAAGGAAAAUCAAAAUCCCCAAAGGAUGAACAAAAGAAAACCCAUAGGUUACAAAGUAAGACACCCAUAUCAUGUUCUGAAAAUCAAUAAGCUCCAAAAAGAAAAUAUGCCCAAGAAAUGAAUAAAUUAAAGCUAGUCAAGGUAUAAAGAAUAUCCAAACAUCAAUUAAAGUAAAUAAACAAGCAUCUAAUAAGCAUCUAGACUAAAAAAAAAAUGAAGAAAAUCAUAUUAGACACAAAAAAUGAAGAAAAAAAUACCCAAAAUCAUUCAUAUGAUCUUCCAAUAUUCACAACCCAUAUGACCAUCAUCUAAAGAAUCAAUAAAAAAAUAAAAUAAAAACUAAAACAAAAAAAAAAAUCAAAAUUAAGAACUUACGAAAGAAACUCCUCCUAAGUCUAAUACUUGGCUUCUAGUAUGGAUAAAUCUUCUUCCCCAAGCCAAUUUCACCUCCAAACUUCCAAUAUUAUUUUUUACCUUUUUUAUUUUUUAUUUUCUCAAAUUAGAUAGAGUUUUCCCUUAGAUAUCAAAGAUAUACCCUAAAAGUGUGCUCCAAGGCUCAUAUUUAUAAGUUAAGGGAGGGUAGAGAUUUUAACUCAUGUCAUCAUCUCCACUAAAACCAUGAAAGAUUUUUUUUUUUUUUUUGGAGAAACUUAUAUUUUAUUGCUCUAAUCUUUAGAACAUGGGCUACAUCUAUUUAAAUAACUAGCAAUUAGAUAAUUCCUAUGCUAAAAACAAGGACACAGAAAAAUAAAUUUGAUUAUAAUCUUAAUCUGAAUAAAAAUUUGACUAUGUACAAAAAAACUAGAAUUCAAAUAAUUCCUCAAAUCAAGGAAUCUAUCCAUUCUAAAAUUCUGAGUCCAAUUUGAACCGGUCUAAUCAAACUAACUUUCCAACACUCCCCCUCAAGUAAGGGCAUAAAUGUCUAUCAUACCCAACUUAUCCACAUUAUCUUUAAAGUCUUAUCUCAUAAUCCUUUUAGUUAAAACAAUUGCAAUUUGGCUUUUGGACGACAAAUAUGCAUAUUUCCCCUUGCUCAAAUUUUUCCCUAAUGAAAUGUCAGUCCACCUCCACAUGUUUUGUUCGAUCAUGGUGGACUAGAUUGUGGAAGAUGCUUAUAGCUGCCUUGUUGCCAGAAUACAUCAUAGUUUGAGGAUGAAUUGUAAUCUUUAGUUCUUCUAAUACUCUCUUGAUCCAUAAGACUUCACAAAUUCCAUGAGCUAUUGAUCUAAACUUAGCUUCAACACUACUUCUUGCCACCAUAUUUUGUUUUUUGCAUCUCCACUUGAUGAGAUUUCCAAACACAAAUGUACAAUAGCCAGAUGUUGACCUCUUAUCUUCUAUAGACCCUGCCCUAUCUACAUCCAUGAAGACUUCUUUCUUUAAUUGAUCAUGCUUUCCAAAGUGAAGUUCUUUUCCUAAGGUUCCUUUGAGAUAAUGUAGUAUUUUUAUAGACAACAUUCAUGUGUGUUUCAUAUGUAGAAUACAUGUACUAACUAAUUAUACUUACUUCAAAACCAAUAUUUGACUAAGUGUGAGGAAGGCAGAUGAGUUUACCAACUAGUCGUUGGUAUCUUCCUUUGUCAAUUGGAUCCUCUUUUUUUAACUGAAUCUAUCUUGUGUCUUGAAUCAAUCGGAAUGUCAUCAGGCUUGCAACCAAGCUUCCCUGUUUCAUUGAGUAACUCUAAAGUGUACUUUAUUAAUAAAUAGAGAUUCAAUUUUUAUUUAUGACAAUCUCCAUCCCUAGAAAAUACUUUAGUGUGCCAAGGUCUUUCACCUCAAUUCCUUAACUAGGAUCUUCUCAAAGCGUCAAUUUCUACAUGAUCAUUACUUGUUAAAAUCUUAUCAUCAACAUAAACUAUGAUAAAAAUUACUUUACCCUCAUUAGUAGAUUAGUAAAACAUGGUAUGAUAUGAAUGUCCAUGAAGAUAGCCAUAAUGUUUUACUACUCUAGAGAGUCUUUCAAACCAUAAACUUUAUUGGAACUUCUUUUUUCAAGUCCUGGUGGUACAUCCAUGUAAAACACCUCUUCUAAUUCCCAAUUAAAAAAAGAAUUUUUUAUGUCCAAGUGUUGAAUGGGCCAAUCAUAGUUUGUAGCUAGAGAGAAGAAUUCAGAUUAUGUUUGGUUUUUCCACCGGUGCAAAAGUCUCUUGGUAAUCUAUCUCGUAAGUCUGAGUAAAUCCUUUAGUAAACAAUCUUGCCUUAUAUCGUUCCAGCAGGCUAUUAGAUUUUUAUUUUAUUGAAAAUACCUAUUUACAUGCCACAAUUCUUUUAGCUUUUAGUUGGGUAACAAGUUCCCAUGUUCCAUUUUUUUUUUCAAAGCUUUGACUUCCUCCACAACUAGUGUUAUCCAUUUUGGAUCACCAAAUGCCUAUGCAUUUUUUGGAACUUCUAUGGAAGAAAUGUGAGAGACAAAAACAGAAAAAAUAUGAGGAUAAUCUAUGAUAAGAGACAAAAUUAGAUAUGAGAUGAAUGGUACAACAUCUAACACCUUUCCUAAGUGCUAUCUAGAUAUCUAAGCCACUAAGCACUAGGUCUACAAAAAGUGAAGAAUGUGAGGAGGAUGACGAAUUGUCCAAACCUGAUUCAAGAAUUAUCUCUCGUGUGGUUUCACGGCAAGGCGUGAGUAUAUUAGGUGCUAUACACUUCCUUGAGUAGACUUUGAACUAUGGUGUAGACUGGGUUGUUGGUGGCAAUGCUUUAUCUCCCCCUACAUUUGGCAAUUUGUCAUGUAUUGGAAAUAUUGUUGGGUUGAACUAAAUGGAAAAAAUGGAUGGAGAGAUUUAAGUGGACAUCUGAAUAGUUGAUAGGAGUCUGGAUUGGUUGCUAGUAGUGUAAGAACUAGAAAAGAAGAUUGUGGAAUUUCCCAUGACGAAGCUUCACUAGAAUUUUCCCUCUAAAGCGAAGUGUAAUAGGGUUGUUGUUCAAAGAAGGUUACAUCUUUAGAGAUGUACAUUUUUCAAUUAACAUGAUCAAAACAUCUAUAUCUUUUUUUAGUUGUUGCAUAUCCUAAAAAUAAUCAUUUUAUAACCCUAAGAUCAAGUUUACCACGAUUAUGUUAAUGAACAUGUAAAAAAGUAGUACAUUCAAAAAUUUUAAUUGGUAAAUCUUGGAAAAUUUGAGAAUAUGGGAAUGAAGCAAGCAAAACAACACUGCUAGUUUUAAAAUUAAGAACUUUCGAGGACAUCCUAUUGAUCAAAUAUGAUGUUGUAAGAAUGGUGUCCCCCUAGUGUAUUUUUCUAACAUUCAUUAAAAAUAAUAAGGAUCGAGCAACUUCUAAGAGGUGCUUAUUCUUCCUUUCGGAAACUCCAUUUUAUUGUAGAGUAUCUACACAUGAAUUUUGAUGAAUAAUCCCAAUAGUUGAUAAAAAAUCUUCAAGAACAACAUUUAUAUAUUCACUACCAUUGUCGGUUUUAAGAAUUUUAAUGAACGUUUGAAAUUGGUUUUAUAUCACUAAGUAGAAAUUUUUGAAGGUUUGAAAGACUUCGAAUUUUUCUUUAAGACGGUAAACCUAGCAAAUUCUUGAAUAAUCAUCGAUGAAGGUAAGGAACCAUUUUCUACUAGUUAGAUUUGUUGCUCAAGAUGGUCCCUAAAGAUCAUUAUGUAUGAGAAUAAAAGAUUUAAAGGGCCUAUAAGGUUUAGUAGGAAAUACUAAUACUGUAUGCUUUACCAUUUGAUACACUUCACAUUGAAAAUGGGACAACCUUUUAUUUUUAAAGAGUUUGGAAACAAGAACCAAAGAUACAGAAAGCUAGGGUGCCCUAAUCUAUAGUGCCAUGACAUUAUUUCAUGAUAUAAAAGAAAAUGUAAAACAUUUUUACCAACAAUAGCAUCUUAUCCUUUCACAACUUCACGGUCAUCAAAGUGGUAUAAACCUUCACACUCACAUGCAUUGCCAAUCGUCCUCCCCGAAGCUAAGUCCUGAAAAACAAUAACAAUAGAAGAAACUUUAGAUACACAAUUGAGAUCUUUAGUGAGUUUACUAAUGGACAAUAAAUUACAUGAUAAAUUUAGGAUAUGUAAGACUGAUUCAAGAAAAAUAGUUUUUGUUAGGGAGAUGGUUCCUUUUCUAGCAACUGGGGUAUACAACUCAUUCACAAUUUGGAAUUUCAUAUUAUCGACACGUGGUACAUAUGUUGUAAAGGAAGUGAAUGACCUUGUCAUGUGAUCUGUAGCUUUGGAAUCGAUGAUAUAAGGUUUAUAAGAAUUGGCUAACACACUAAAUGGGUAUUGAGUUCUACUUGAUAGUGUUAGAGAGCAAGAUGGCAAGGGAUUGACAUUUGGUGAACCUAAGAUAGAAGUGGAUGCGGUUUGUGGAUUAAUGAGAUGUUGCAAGACCUUUAACUACUCCUUGGUGAAUGGUGAAGUGGUUGUUUGGCUGUGAGGGUUCUCAUAUUCACUAUAGUAGGCUUUAGAAUUGUGGUUGGGUCUUAGGUUUCUCCUAGUAGGCAACUUCUUGUGGAUCUUCCAGGAUGUAUAUCUUAUGUGGCCUUGUUUUUUAUAGUAGUCACACUAAGAACAAUCACCAUUUUUUCCUGGUCAUUGGUCGUUUGGUUGAAAAGUCUCCCCACCAUGAAUAACCAGGGCAAAGUCUCAAAUUGGCUAGAUUGUUGUUUUCCCAACAUUACUUUGUACCUACUCUCUUCCCAUCGUACCUUAAAGAAAGAUCUCCCUUAUAGAUGGAAAUGACUAUUUUCCUAGGCUUCAACCUCAAACCUCAUCAAAUUCCUUGUUGCGUCUUACCAAAAAGUCAAAUGCCCUUUCUUUUAUGAGAAUCUUGCAAUAAUGGGCAUUGUCUUCACAAUAUUUCCAUUCCAUAUUAGAGAAUAAAUCAUGGUCUUGCCAUGCAUUUUAAAGGAUAUUAUAGUAUUGUGUAACAUUAUAACUACUUUAUUUGAUAUCUUCAACUUAGUUUAAAUUUCAAACAUUUGAGUAGCAUUACCUAAAUCUAAAUAAUUCUCUUGGACUGCAUCCUAAAGGUCCUUGGCGGGUAGAAAGAAAGAGGUAAGUAUGCCCAAUAGCUACCUCCAUGGAGUUGAUUAACCAGGCCAUUACCAUGUAGUUCUUAGAAUCCUAGGUUUGGUACGCAUGAUCUUCCAACUUAGGUGCUUUGUUGGCACUUGUGAGAUAGCCUAACUUUCCUUUUCCUCAUAUGAACAGUUUCACCAAUUGCGAUCAUUGGAGAAAAUUACAUUCAUUUAAUUUAUGUAUCGUAAUUUACAGGGUUGGAUUUUCUAUACCGCUUGGAUUUGUUGUUGGAAUUUGUAUUGUGAAGUCCCAGGUGAGGCAUUAGAUUCCUCCCUGUGAGUUGCACUAGUCAUAGCAGUCUUCACUAUCCUUCUACUUUUUUUUUUUCUUCUCUGGCUCUAAUACCAUGAAACCAUGAUAGGGUUUUUUUUUUUUUGGAUAAAGUUAUAUUUAUUGCUCUAAUCUUCAAAACAUGGGCUACAUCCUUUUAGAUAACAAGAAAAUAGAUAAUUCCUAUGCUAAAAAAAAAGAGAUGGAAAAAAAAAUCUGAUUCAAAUAAUUCCUCAAAUCAAGGAACCUAUCCAUUAUAAAAUUUUGAGUCCAAUUUGAACUAGUCUAACCAAACUAACUUUCCAACAUCCAACUAAGUUGAAAUUAUCUUUAAAACCCUUGAAAAUUAAAACCCAAAUAAAUAGACUCAAAACCUUAGGUUUUUAGGCCCACAAACCCCCUAAAACCAGCCUAAGAGCUAAAAAAAGGGUAAAAAAGUUUGACAAAGAAAUAAGAAUAAAAAAGGAUCAAAAUAAGGAACUUUUUAGCAAUUGGUUGAGCUGGUACCUCAAUCUACUAAAUUAGUUCCCUAGACUGGUUGAACUUACUAAACCAGUUUCCUAAACUAUUUGAAUCGAUGAAACUAAUUAAGGCAAAAAAGGGCUCGAUUCUUACUGAUGAAGCUCUAUUUGAACUCCAAACAUACUGAAACUUUAGAGACUCCUAGGGUGACACUAAAGUCAUAUUGUGGAUCCAAAACUAUAUCUAAAAAGUCUUUCAAAGUGGCUCAAAAGUCAAUGCUAAAGACGAGUAUUGAACAUCCCACCAAGGAGUAUAGGAACAAUCACACAAAGGGGGUCUAGAUGUGCUACACAAGGGCACAAAGUGAAGGACACCAAGUAUGAUCUACAACAUGUGCUAUAAAGACAAUAUGGAGAGUCUAGAUGCACUUUUUGAGAAGACCUGAUUAGCCUUCUUGUAUCCCAAACUCUUGAAAACAUUUUAUCUUCUCAUUUGUUAGGUUAGAAAAGAGAUUCCAUAAGGCACAAAAGUAAAAUACACUAGGAGUACACAUGGUGUUUCACCAUGGAUGUGAAGUUCAAUGGACGUGUUGGGGAGUAAGACUUAGGGAUAGCAUCGAUCAAGUAAAUCUAUCUAUUGUCCUUUCGAAUAGUUGAUUUGUGAUUAGAGGUCUCUAACCACAUGAUGUUUAUAUCUAAAUGGUCUCGAGAAUACUGUGUGGAUUUUCACGUAAAAAAAUAUUUGUCUUUCACAUUGACUUAUUUAUUCUUGCCCUUAUAACAAAUGGGAAAGUUAAAAAAUGAAAAAUAAUUAACUUUUGGAUUAAAAAAAUUAUCUAUGUGCCUUUUGUAAUAAUUUAUUUCUUUUUUCAAAGAAGUUAAAAAAAUAAAAAAUAAUUAAUUUUUGGACUAAAAAUUUUGUGAAGACUAUAUACCCAUGUUAAUGGCCUCAUGUGGCAUAAGAGAAUCACAAGAAUGACGAAUAAAAACAUGUGGUAUAUAUUAUUUGUCAUUGCCAUUAUUCAUUUGUUGGUGGUAAAAAGUAAGAAGUGUAGCUAUCAAAAAGAUUUUUCUUGUACCUUUUUUCUUUGUUAGAGGUGAAAAAACAUGAUUUUAACAUGACGAGCUAGGCUUAUUGAUUUAUGUUUUCGUUUUAUUUUUUUAUUUUUAUUUCUGAUUUUAUUUUCCUAGUUUGUGUUUCACAUGCCACCUUGAGGAGGGAUAUUGGAGAUAUAAAGAUAUUUGACUCUGCCUAAAUUGAAAUAAGGAGAUAUUUGACUUUUCCUAAACAAUAUAGAGGAUGGAGAUCUUUCUUGGUAGAAUCUGAUUUAUUACUUUUUAUUGUAUAUAAGAUUAUUUCUAUUUUUGUAUAUAAGGCUAAGUAUCUUUUAAAAAUAUAUAAAAAAAAGUAUUUUCUCAAUUCUUGUCAAAACUCAAAAAACAUGAUUUUAAGGUCACGGGCUAGGUUUAUUGAUCUAUAUUUUGGUUUUGUUUUAUAUUUUUAUUUCUGAUUUUUUUUUUUUUUCCAGUUUGUGGUUCAAAAUAGCCUUUGUGGCACAAUUGCUAAUAAGCAAUGACGUUAGCAAAGAUGGUGAUACUUUGAAAAAGUUUGGAAUAUUAUGAACUAUUGAGAAGUUGAAAAGCUAAUUACAUUAAUUGAUAGGAACGAUUGAAGAUUUUAAAAUGAUAAAACGUGAGUCUAACACUUGUUCUCAGUGAAAUAUUAUAAAUCACUGAGAAGUUGAAAAGCUAACAUCGAUAGGGACUUUAAAACGAUUGAAGACUUUAAAACGAUCACACUUGUUCUUAUCUUGAGGAAAAAAUAGUGUCUUAUAUACUUUAAUUCCUGGCCAAUGAAUCCGAUAGGAUAAGAAGUGAUAGGGGUAUUAAUCUAAAUUGAUUUUCUCAACUGUGAAGCAAUUCACAGAUCGCUCCUGGAAAUGAAGCUUAGCUCAGUUGCAGUUUCCUUUGCUUUUAUUACUCUCCUCAUAUUUGCAUGGAGGUUAUUGAAUUGGGUGUGGUUGAGACCAAAGAAGCUAGAGAGAUGCCUUAGGAAGCAAGGUCUGACUGGAAAUUCCUACAGGUUGUUGCAUGGGGAUUUUAGAGAGAUGUCGAGGAUGAAUAACGAAGCAAAUUCCGGACCCAUCAGCUUCUCUGAUGAUAUUGUGAAGCGAGUUCUACCAUUUUUUAAUCAUUCCAUCCAGAAAUAUGGUAUGAAAAUUAACUUCUCUUUAUCAUUGCACUAAAAUAUUUGUGGAAUUUUCCCCAAUGGAUGUUGGUUUUCUGGUCUUUUUUUUUUAUUAGUUGUUUUUCCUGUCCUUUCUUUUUCUUCUCUAAGAAGUUAUAGCCAAAUGGAAUUUCAAUGGUACUUCAAAUUUCCUUUUUCUACUUAGGAGUGUAACUUUUAAGGUUUAUUUGAUUAAAAAUAAUCAAGUAAUCCCAAAUUUAUAAAAAAAGUCCUCAUUUAAAAAAGACUCAUUUUAUAUAUAUAUAUAUAUAAAAUACUUACUAUUUUUCUUUUCAGUCUAAAAAAUGACUCAUUUUUUUAUAAAAAUAUACUCGGGAAAAACCUGUUUUUAUACACUCCUAAAAAAUUAUAAAAUACAAAUUUCAAACAGUUAUUUAAAAAUAAUUAACAUUUCAUGUACUUUUUUUUAUAUAUCAAAUUUACUACCUUUUAACGAUAUAAGUAUUAUCUUUUAUCAUUUUAGGUACUAUCUUUGACUAAUAUAAAAAAAAAUUAUUUUAUAAUUAUUUUUAUAUAGUGUGAAAACUCACUUUUUUAAAUAUACUUGUUGUUUUUCUUAUAAAAAUAACAUUCUUUUUUUUUUCUUUUAAAUUUACCAAAAAAAAUUAUAAAAAUAUUAAGAGAUGUUUAUAUAAAAAAAUAACUAAUUUUUUAGUUGAAAUAUGAAAGGGGCUAGAUUUACAAAUUUAGGAUUAUUUUAUUCUUUUUAAUUGUGCCAUUCAAUUUUUUUAUAAGCUAUAUGUAGGUAUAUAUUGGAUUAUUUACUUUGUAAGUUGUUUAAUCGUUGGGAAUUGUGAAUAGCUUUUAAAUUUUUAUGCUAAUUGUUUCUCAUCUUUUCAAAUUUUGCAUGAACUUUUGACUUUUGAUAAUUAAUCAAAUCAUUAUAAUUUUCUUUAGAUAUUUGAGCUUCUUCAAUUAGAUAGCCUUGCAUUUGCCUGCUUGACUACCCAGGUCCUUUAGAUCCUUUCUAACCAUUAUCCAACAAUGGGCAUUAAAAAUGCAGGUAAAAAUAGUUUUACAUGGUUGGGCCCAAAACCAGUAGUAAAUAUUAUGGAGCCUGAGCUGAUAAGGGAUGUUCUCUUAAAGCACAAUGUCUUUCAAAAACCACCGCCGCACCCUCUCGGCAAGCUGCUGGCUACUGGUGUUGUUGCAUUGGAAGGUGAACAAUGGACUAAACGUAGAAAGAUCAUAAACCCAGCUUUCCAUCUAGAGAAGUUGAAGGUAAUUUUAUCAUGCUUAUUUUCCCAUUCUUUCUUUAUGUUUAAUUUUAGAAAUUGUGAGAGCAGAAUAAAUACAUUAAAGGAUGGAUAUGGUUAACUUUUUGAGGCAAUAUUUAUUUGGUUAUGCAGCCAGACCCCAACUUGUUGCCUGGUUUCUCUGCAUAGCCCUCUUCUUAUAGGAAAGAAAAUAAAUUUCCGAAUGUUCCAUAAUUUAGUAGACAUAUUCACAAUUUUACUGCCUCUUGUAAUCUUUUUUCUUAUGCAUGAUAAAUUUUUUCUAAAUUUAUUAAUUGUGUUUGAAUUUGUAUAGCACAUGGUAUCGGCAUUCCAAUUGAGUUGUAGUGAUAUGGUCAAUAAAUGGGAGAAGAAGCUCUCCAUGGACGACUCAUGUGAAUUGGACAUUUGGCCCUAUCUUCAAAUUUUGACGGGAGAUGUUAUUUCAAGAACAGCAUUUGGUAGUAGCUACGAGGAAGGAAGAAGGAUAUUCCAACUCCAGAAAGAGCAAGCACAUCUUGUAGCCCAGGUUACUCAGUCAGUUUAUGUUCCAGGAUGGAGGUAGGCAAAAAAUAUUUCAAGGAAUUAAUCUGAACCUCAGUACUAAUACCCAUAUGCUAUAUCUUUCACAGUAUCACCAACAACAACAACAACAACAAUAAUAAUAAUAAUAAUAAAAAUAAAAAUGAAGAAGAAGAACAAGGGUUUGAUCCAGCAUGGGACAAAAGCAAGAAUAAAAUUAACAACUGUUAUAACAUUUAAGAACUAUAAAAUGUUUCAUUUAUUUUGUUAAUAUGGCUCUCAACUAAUAUUUGUUUAUCUUCUAAAAUGGAAGUUUUCCAAUUUUUGGCUUUCUAUUUUAAGAAAUUUCAUUUUGUUCAAAUUAAAGAAUGUAGCUGUCUUGAAAACAAAAAUCAACUUCAAGUAUCCCCUUUUCUUUUAUUGGCAGAACAUCUUAGCAAGAUGAAUGGUGAAAUACUACUAUAAAAUAUAUGUAGACCAAAUGGACAAUUAAUGUCUGGAUAGUCUCAUCUUUGGAACACCAUGGAUAUUCCGAGAAAUUGAUCAAGUACAAAGUCAUGGAUGAAAUUGCAUUAGUUGCUUCCUGUAUUUUAUUGAUCUUCAUUUACUUGGAUUACUUCCAAGCAGGUUUUUCCCAACAAAGAUAAACAGGAGAAUGAGGCAAAUUAGAAAUGAAGUCAAUGCAUUGUUGAAGGGUAUCAUUGAGAAAAGAGAGAAGGCAAUGAAAGUUGGCGAAACUGCUAAUCAUGAUUUAUUAGGUCUGCUAAUGGAAUCCAACUACAGAGAAAUGCAAGAAAAUGAUGAGAGGAAGAAUGUUGGAAUGAGCAUCAAAGAUGUCAUUGAGGAGUGUAAGCUAUUCUACUUUGCCGGCCAAGAGACUACCUCAGUUUUACUUCUGUGGACAAUGGUUCUAUUAAGCAAGCAUUCAAACUGGCAAGCUCGUGCAAGGGAAGAGGUUUUACAAGUUUUUGGUAAUAAAAAACCAGAUGGCGAUGGCUUAAAUCACCUCAAAAUUGUGAGUACCAAUCCAAUAUAUAUUCAAUAUAGUAACUAUCUCUUCUUGAAAAUAAUAUAUUACUCUUUUUCUUUUUUUCAAUCUUAAGACAAAAUAUGUUUUGUUUCUGUAUCCUUUUUUCUUUAAUUGAAAGCUAUAUGCAGAUACUUGGUAGCCCCAAUGGAAUUUUUCUUUCCUCAUCUACAUGCACAACGCAUCAGCAGUGGCCACUUGACUUUAAUGAAGAAGGGGGGACAGACUAUUCUUUUCUUUGUGUGAAUUUUUUAUUUGCUUGUUAGGUUGUUAUAAGUGUGGUGAAAACUUUAUGCAAAUACUUAGUAUCAAUCAUUUACAAGACCGAAGAUAAUCUUGAUAUUAAACUCAAGGCUACAAUAUAUAUUCAAGGGGUUCUUAGUUUGUAUUGACCAGUUACUGUAUGGUCCUAUGUACAUGAAAGUAUCUGUCAUGAAAAAAGUCAAACAAUCUCUUUCAUGACUAUAUUAAAAAAAUUCCUUCAUAGUUUGAUGUAUGCUUAUUAGUGAUCUAGUGUAUUUCAAUAAUGAAUUCUCAUGAUAAAAAUAUUUUCUAUAUUGCAGGUUACAAUGAUUUUUCAUGAGGUCCUUAGGUUAUAUCCACCAGCAUCCAUGCUCAUACGAACUGUUUUUGCCGACAGCCAAGUGGGAGGAUUGUAUUUAUCAGAUGGAGUGCUGAUCGCUUUGCCAAUCCUCCUAAUUCACCACAAUCAUGAAAUUUGGGGAGAGGAUGCAAAGGAAUUCAACCCGGGAAGAUUUUCAGAAGGAGUUUCUAAGGCAGCAAAGACCCAAGUUUCAUUUUUUCCAUUUGGUUAUGGUCCUCGGAUAUGCGUUGGACAAAAUUUUGCAAUGAUGGAAGCGAAAAUGGCUUUGGCAAUGAUCUUACAACGUUUCUCAUUUGACCUUUCCCCAUCCUAUGCUCAUGCACCUAGUAGCCUUUUAAUGCAACCCCAACAUGGUGCACACCUGAUUUUACAUGGACUUUAGCAUCAGAGUUCUUGUUAUCAGUAACAGUUAGCAAGAGCUUUAAACCUAGAUAAUGUUGAAUUUAAAAUGCCCACACUCCCUUUCACUUGAAAUAUGUGCUCUAUAAAGUCAAUAUAUUAAUAA
RNAcentral lists this long non-coding RNA (52419 nucleotides) under Vitis vinifera (wine grape). Its description in RNAcentral is "long non-coding RNA (VVIN_LNC006595)". Lineage: Eukaryota; Viridiplantae; Streptophyta; Magnoliopsida; Vitales; Vitaceae. The record is from RNAcentral.